CAGAAACAACAUGUGGAAGAUCAAAUACGAUGCAUUUUAACUGAGGGAAGGAUUCGGCAAUGGCCUUUCCCAUGGUUCCUGUACCUCCCCCAACAUCAACCAAUGACUCCAAUCCCAUAAACACCCCUUUGCAUUUCUCAAUCACCGAACUAGUGAUUAGUUGAGCAUCACUUGCCAUAGCAUCAUUGAAUAAGAUAUUAAUUCUGGGAUCACUGCCAGCAUACUCCCAAAACAAUUUCCCAUGUUCCAUUUCAAAGGGUGUAGUAAUACCAUUUUUGAACCAACUAGAAAACUGAUUCCAUGGAUUUGUUAAAACUGGAUCNAGCAUGGCCUGCAGGAAAGGUGCCAUACUCAUUUCAUGGCUCUUAAGCAGAAGGAAAGAGGCAUCAGUGAGUGCAUAUUUGACUUCAAGCUCAUUAUCGGUGUGAUUGAGUUGAGAGAAGAAGCCAGAAUGGACCAUGAAUCGCAUCAAGCGAGGGAUGAAGUGAGUUUUGGAAGAGUGAAUUGGAAGUGAAGCAAUGAGGUUUGAGAGUGAGAUAGGUUGGCCAUGGUUGUGUAUGAUGUCUGCUAUGCCUAACUCAACAACACAUUUAAGGGACAUGGAGUUUAUGAAGCUAAAAAUAUGAUUCCAUAUGUGUGUUUGAGCCCUCAGUAGUUUGGCGUCAUGGGAUUCCAUAAUUUCUUGCAUAAACUACUUGUUCAAUUUGGAGUAUGUAACCUCACACACCAUUUGGAUCUAUUUAUAAGCAACAGAAUAUCCAGCAGCCACUUUAUUAAUAAUUCAUAGGAUAUGACGGUAGAUUAUCAUGCCUCCAUACAAAUAUAAUAUAUUAUUUGUCUUCGUUACCUCCAUACUAAUCAUCUUAAAUUUUAACUUAUGGGUCUCACAACACACCAUUUUGGCUGUCUUUGGUGAAAAGGAUGCAAAUUGAACCUUUUAAGGAUUCCGAAAUUACUCCUCUGUGCGUCCUCCAUUUUUAACUUUGAUUUCAUUCCUCUCGAUCCUCUCCAUUUCGGUUCUCUUUUCAACCUCCAUCAAAAAUGUACUUUGCCCAACUCAUUAUGGAGCAAAGACCCUAUGUGAGUAUUUCAGCAGGUAAUUCAACUCCUCAGCAUUUGAAGCCAAGACAUGCCUUAGUAAUCAAUUACAUGUAAUUGAUUACUAGUGGCUUAAUGGGUAAUUAUACAAAAACUUGAAACUCGUUUUCCAGUUGGGAUAACGUUACUCUCCAUGGUGAUUUUUCAAUGUUUAAGGCUGUCUUUGUCCACUUUUUUCAAUGGACGACUCAUGUUGGUCAUGGUAAAUGGUUGCAAAUGCAUAAAAACUCUACUUUACCCAGCUCAUUGUGGAGUAAAGACCCCAUGUGGGUGUUUCAGCAAGGUAGCUCAAGUACCUUAGCAGUUGAAGCCAAUAUAUGCCUUGGUAAUUGAUUACAUUGUGCCUGUAAUCGAUUAUCAGUGACUUAAUGGCUAUUUGUACAAAAACUUGCACAUCACUCCUCAGUUGGGAGAAUGUAACUCACCGUGGUGAUUUUUAUGUGCUUAAGGUUGGCUUUGUCCAUUUUUUUUUCAAUGGAUGACUCGUGUUGGUCAUGGUUGAUGGUUGCAAGUUUAUAAAGAAAUAAAAUAAAAUAGAAUAAAAUAAGAAACAUGAAACAAUAACUUUAAAGUAAACUCAUUUAAGAAGCUUAGAAAAAUAUUGUUUUGGGAAAUUAAUUGCAUUUAGUACAAUGGUCUAAAAUUUAUGAGUUAGUAAUCAUUUGAAAGAUCUUUGAGUCUAGAUUCCAACAAAACAAGAAUCAACUCAUUUGGAGUUAGGUGGAGAAAAUUAUCAAUAAAAAAACCAGCAAAGGUCAGACUUGGCAGGAUAUAUAAAAUGUUAACUUUAAGGAAUUAAUUCUACCUACUCAGAUUUCAAAAAAUUACAAAUUAGUAGUCAUUGGAAAGAUUUUUUAGUCUAUUUUUUAAUAAAAAAAAGAAUCACAUCAUUUGGAGGUCGGUGAGAAAUGUUAUGAUUAAAAUAGUCAGCAAAGGUCAAAGUUGACAACACGUUAUCUUAUACGUAUAUAUUUCCCUCUUGCUCACAGAUUUAUUAUUUAUUGAAAAUGCCUAUUAAAAUUUGUGCAUUGUAACAACAUUAGAUGACAUAGCAAAGCAUGAGUUGGAAAAAGUGGUCGUGGACUUGAACUACCUUGGUUCAAACACCUAUAGGAGUUUUUUCCUCCACAAAUGAGUGGGGAAACUGUGUUUUGAUACACUUGACACCAUCGAUGAUGAGCAACAUGUGUUUCAUCUAGAAUUGAGCGAGGCAAACUGUGUUUUGAUGCACUUGACACCAUUAAUGACGAGAAACGUGAUUCAUCCAUGCAAAAAAAUGUAAAAAAAAUCACCCAUAGGGACACAAAAAUGACCCUAGGGAGUCAAGUUCUCCCAACUAGGGAGUCACAUGUAACUUUUCAUACAAACCAGCAAGUUGCCUUUGGUAAUCGAUUAUAGGGACCCUGUAAUCAAUUACCAGGGGCUGAUUGCUGGUUUGCACGGAAAUUUACACGUGACUCCCUACCUGGGAGAACAUGAUUCCCUAGGGUCAUUUUUGUGCUCCUGUGGGUGAUUUUUUCCAUUUUUUGCAUGGAUGCCUCAUGCUGCUCAUCAUUGAUUGUGUCAAGUGUAUCAAAACACAAUUUGCUUCACUCAAUUGUGGAGGAAAAAGUCCAUAUAGGCUUUUGAACUAAGGUAGGUGAAGUCCAUGACCAUUUUUUCACAAGUUAUGCCUUGGUAAUAGAUUACAAGGUCCCUGUAAUCAAUUACCAAGGGCUGAUUGUUGUUGGUUUGUACAAAAAGUAAUAUGUGACUUCCCAGUUGGAAGAACUUGACUCUCCAAGCUCAUUUUUUAUGUCCUUUUAGAUGAUUUUGGGUGUGUUUUUAUGUGAUUUUUUCCAUUUUUUAGUUGGAGGACUGAUUUUAUUCAUCAAUACUACGAAAAACCCUUUUUCUCACCAAACAAAGCCCAAACCUUGGAGAAAGGAGACAUAUAUAUUUACUCGUUGAUGGAGAGCGCGAGAAAGUUAGAGAGGCGAAAUGUUACAACGCUAAUGGAGGUCACUUUCGCGGUCCCAAUGGAUGCAAAAACAAGAACAAAUCACGAGAGGGAGGCAACGCAAAAAUGCAAAAACAAAAUGAGACGAUAGAGAUAAAAAAGACAACAACAUAUAAGAGAGAUUUCGGUGGACGUGUCACGGUAGUCGAGAGAACAAAGGACAACCAAAAAAUAACAAUGAGAGAGAGACUUGAGAUAGAGAAAAAAAGAUUUCAAGUUGUUCAAAGGAAGAAGAUGAAUCCCUUUUCGAAAUAAUAUUUCAAAAUCAACGAGUUCCCAAAACACCUUCUGCAUAAUAUUUCAUUUCUAAAAGUAAUAUUUGAAAUGGACCAAUCAACCACCAUAUGAUGUUGUCAAAAAAUUUGGCAAAAUUAAGUUAUUAAAAAAGAAUUUCCUAUGUUUUAUUAAAUUGGGUAUUGUUAUAAUUAACUCAAUAAAUAAAAAUCUUAAUUGUAUCUUAAAUGCAAGAGUAUGUGUACAUAGUGCAGAGUUCAUCAUCUCCCUUCUCAUUGUAAUCUUCGCAAGAGAAAUUUUUUUGUAUUUCAUCCAUUUUUAUGGCAUCAUUACAUAUUUACUCUUAUAUUAUUUAAAUAUUAAUUUAACAAUUUUUAAUAAAAAAUUAUAAAUGAUAUAAAAAACAUUAUAUUACAAAGGUUUAAAAGGGUGUAUAUUUUAUUUUCUUAUAUACAAAAGAUUUUAUAAUUUCAUGAAUAUUGAAAUGAAGUCUUGUAUAAAUAAAUAUCUAAUAAGUAUAGAAAGGGUAUAAUUAUAUUCUUUUUUGAGAAAGUAAAUAUCUUACAAAUUUUAGUGAAUUGAAUAGAUUAUAAAAUGAGCUAAAUUUAAUAAAAAUAAAUUUGAUAGAGAACAAAUAUAUAUAUAUAUAUAUAUAUAUAUAUAUAUAUAUAUAUAUAUAUAUAUAUAUAUAUAUAUAUAUAUAUAUAUAUAUAUUCAUCUCUCAGUUCUCAUCAUACCUUAUUCUCAUCUCAUUCACCUAAUUUUAAAAAAUCUUACUCAUAUUCAUCAUGUUUAAUCAAUGAUGAGAAUUUGGUAUCCCUAAUAAAAAAAGUUUAAAACAUAUAUAUUGUUUAUUAAAAUAAAAUUAUUUAAUUUUACAUUUAUUAGUUUCAUUAUCUUACGUAACCUUUCUUAAACCUCCUAUGAAGAUGAAGUUGAUGUUCCGUUUUUCCUUUCACGUCAUCCUAUACUCGAAUAAGGAUAUUAUCACUAGUACUAAUAGAAAAAUAUCAUAUAACGUCAUUAUCUUUUUACCUUUUACAUCAAAUUUAUAUCUAUCGGUAGACGUUAAAUUGACGUCGAAUUUAAAAAAUUCGACGUUAAUUAAAUUGAUGUUGAAUUUUUUCAAUAUUUGAUGUUAAGCAAUUUUUUUUUAAUUAAUUGUGAUCUUUUUAACAAUUCUAAAAGACUUAAAAAGCAAAAAAAAAAACACAACAAAUUUUAGUUUUUGGUAUUUUAUAAAACAUGAAUUAUGAACGUGUAGUAUGGUAUCAACAACAAACAAUAAACAAGUUCAAUCAAACAACAACAACAAACAACCAACAAGUUCAAUUAAACAACAACAAACAAGUUCAAUCAAAUAACAUCAACAAACAAGUUCAACAAACAAGUUCAACAAAAAAACAACAAACAAGUUGAACAAAUAAGUUCUUCAAAACGAAAACAAAAAUGAUAACUAACCUUUAAAGGUGGGUUCAUCGUGUUUCCACCAAUGAGAGAGAAAGCAAAAUGGGCCUAUGAAAGACAAGAACACGAAAAUAACCGGUCAAAGCAAAUGAAAAUCAUACAUGUGAUGGUCGUCAAAUUUCGUUCGAGAAAAGUUUGAGAAGAGAAGAAGGUCUCAUGCACUAAGAUAAAGUGAAUGAAUUUUCAAUCUCUCGCUCAAAUUAAAAAUGGAAACUUUUGGUUAUAAAUAAUACGUUGAAGCCCUUAUAGAAUUCGAUGUACUAUUGGUGGUUUAAAAUAAAAAAGAAUUAAAGAGGGGUAACUCUUUGGCUUAUGGCUGAAAAAUAAUACGUCGAAGCCCCUACAAAACUCGACGUAUUAUAUGUGGUUUAAAAGGAAAAAGAAAAAAAAGAAUUAAAAAGGAAUUACUUUUUGGCUUGUGGCUGACAAAUAAUACCUCGUAGCCCUACAAAAUUCAAUGUACUAUUGGUAGUUUAAAAGAAAGAAGAAAGACAAUUACGUGCAGCUUUAAAUAAUUACCAUAAUAGAACGUUGAAUUGUAGGGGCUUCGACGUUCUACAAUUGUAUUUAUUUACAAAAAUGUCACCGGUCAUUUUUAAUGUUAGUUAUUCACCGAUCAUUAACAUAUCACCGAAGAGUUGUGUUUCAACAUAUUCUUCAUCUUUCACUUCAUUAUCCAUCACCAUGUCUAUGAUUAUCACCUUUCCUUCUUUCCCUUUCUUAGAUAUAGCUGAUAAUAGUAUAUCGCACGGUCCUAUAUUGACUUUCUACACCGUCCGCUCGGUUGUGUUGUGAAGAUAACAAUAUACCACUUGGUUCAUUGACCUGCUCGUCACCUGUUUUUUUUUUUUUGUUUUUCUGUUAUUAUCUUUCCCUAUAUAUUUUCCUCUUUUCUGUACUUCUUUUGCAUCAAUCAAUAUCCUUUUUCCUCUUUCUCUAGCUUCUCUCCUCUCUUUCUUCUUUCCCUUUAAGCCUUCUUUUCUUUAUACGUUGUAAAUCUAUGAUGGUAUCAGAAGAAAUUUCUGCUGCUCUCUGAUUUCUGCACUCCUGUUCUUGUUUCUUUUUUCCCCUACAAUGGCUACCACUGAAACCAAUACCCAAACCCAAGAUUUUACCCAUUCAUACCUUUAUCUUCACCCCAAUGAAAACCCUUACAUAUCCCUUGUCUCACCCGUUCUCAACACCACAAACUAUCAUUCGUGGAGCAGAUCCUUCGUUACGACUCUUUCUUCAAAGAAUAAGGUGGAGUUCGUUCUUGGAUCCGCAAUUCAACCCGCAAAGAUUGAUGCUACCUUUCCCGCUUGGUUCCGCUGCAAUAGCAUGGUGGUUUCAUGGCUCUUGCAUUCUUUCUCCCCCUCCAUCUGUGAAAGCAUCAUUUGGAUGGACAAUGCCAUCGACAUGUGGAAUGACCUGAAGAACCGCUUUGCCCAAGGUGACCUUGCGAGAAUUUCCACAUUACAAAUGGAAGCUACCACCUUGUCCCAAGGUGAGCUCUCUGUCACCGAAUUCUUUACCAAAAUCAGAAUCAUUUGGGAUGAACUUGAUAGUUUCUACCCAGACCCCAUUUGUAUAUGUAAGUCAAAAUGUUCUUGCACUGUUUCUUUGAUUCUUUCUCAACGGAAACAUGAAGAUCGUGCAAUGCAACUUCUCGGAGGUUUGAAUACUCACUAUACCGAUAUACAAUCCCAUAUUCUUCUUCUUGACCCUCUUCCUCCAAUUUCCAAAAUUUUUUCUCUUGUUAUCCAACAAGAACGUCAAUUCAUGACGGAUCGUAUUACUGCUACUAUGAAAACUACUUCAUUUUCUAAUUUCCCUUCUCAACUGAAUGGUUCUACUACUAUUACUUGCACCUACUGCAAUCGGGUUGGUCAUCAAGAAAACACCUGCUUCAAAAAACAUGGUUUUCCCAGCCAAGAUCACCGAAAUGCCAAAACCACAAACAACAACAAUAGAAAGAUCUGCACAUAUUGUCAUAAAACUGGGCAUACCAUAGAUGUGUGUUUCAAGAAACAUGGAUAUCCUCCUGGCCAUAAACUUUCCGACAACAAACUCGGCCAGAUUCAUAAUAUUGUUUCAUCCACUCAUGGUGACAGUCAACCGAACGACUUGGAUCAAGAUCAUUCUUCUACCGCGACCAUUCAAAUAACACCCCAACAAUAUCGGAUUCUUGCCGACCUGUUCAAAAAAUCUGAGUCUAAUGCUCCCAAUGUGCAUAUUAAUAGGGACACUAUCCACAAACACUUCUCCAGGUAAUAUUGUUUCUGCUCUUCAAGUUCAUUCGGGUAAUACAUGGCUUCUUGAUUCUGGUGCCACCGAUCAUGUUUGCAUUUCUUUAAAACUCUUCUCUUUUUAUCAAAAGAUUACACCUAUUUCCAUAACAUUACCAACUGGAAAAAUUAUCCACGCUCAUUACAAGGGAACUGUUCUGUUCCACUCUAAAUUUUAUCUUUAUAAUGUGCUAUAUAUUCCUGACUUCAUUAUGCAGGACACCCAAAGUCAAGAAAAGAUUGGUUUGAUUAGAAUUAGAAUGGAUUAUAUCUUUUUGACUCAUCUGUUUGUAAAAUUAAUACUAGUUGUAGUCCUUUAAUAUGCUCUUUUCAUACUCCAAAUCUGUGGCAUGCUCGUUUUGGACACCUUUCAAAUGAUAGGUUACAUCUUUUGCAAAACAAACAUGCUUAUAUAACAAAUGACACUCAAAUUCUUUGUGAUACGUGCCAUCGUGCUAAACAAAAGAAAUUUCCUUACACUACUACCACAUCUCAUUCAUUGUGUUCCUUUGAUUUACUGCAUAUUGACAUAUGGGGUCCUAGCACUGCUUCUAUGAAUGGUUUUAAAUACCUAUUAACUAUCAUUGAUGAUUUUUCCCGUUACACUUGGAUUUACCUAUGUUAGAUAAAUCUUCUGUUAAAAAUCACAUUCUUACAUUCCUCUACUAUAUACUCAGUUCAAUAAAAAAAGUAAAAACAAUACGAACUGACAAUGGCAUUGAGUUCAAUAUGCAUGAUCUUUUCUCAAAUAAGGGCAUUAAUCAUCAAACUACUUGCGUUGAAACUCCUGAACAGAAUGGUGUGGUCGAACGUAAACACCAACACAUCUUAAAUAUCACACAUGCCUUACUUUUUCAUUCACAUUUACCAACUAUCUUCUGGUGUUAUGCAGCUCAACAUGCUAUCUUUUUGAUCAAUCAGAUGCCCACACCUGUUUUAUAGAAUGAUACGCCACAUGACCAUCUUCAUGGAUCUUCUUGUGACCUUUCCAUGUUGUGUGUUUUUGGUUGUCUCUGCUACGCCAACACCAUUACUGCUCACAUAAAGAAGUUUGAUGAUCGUGCUAUCUCUGGCAUUUUCUUAGGUUUCAAACGGCACACAAAAGGUUAUCUUUUUUUCAAUCUCAAAAAGCAUAAGGUUGAUGUUUCCCGUAAUGUUGUUUUCCAUGAAAAUGUUUUUCCAUAUCAAAAUAUUAAAAAAAACGACAACUUUUUAUCUCUCCCUUUGCCCACUAAUUACACCCAUAACUAUGAUCAUCUCCUACCGUUUGGACAUACUUUUGCUGAUAUACCGUUCGGUCAUUCUGCUGCUAAUAUACCGUUUGGACAUCAUGUUGCUGAUAUACCACUCGGUUCUCACAGCACAUCUACAGAUAUCACUCAAAUCGAUGAUACUGGUAAUGAUACUUCUGAUAGUGUAAGACGUUCUUCUAGACCAUGUAAGCUUCUUGCUUACUUAAAGGAUUUUAAAACUAAUAGCAUUGUUCGUUAUCCCAUCCAGAAUUACCUUUGUUAUGAUCAUCUCUCUAGUCAUUUCAAGCAUACAAUUUUAUCUAUCUCCUUUAAUAUUGAACCAACCUCUUAUUUUGUUGCUUCUAAAAAUCCCCAAUGGGUUACUUCUAUGCAUGUUGAACUUGAUGCCCUACAGGCUAACAAUACUUGGGUCCUAACGACUUUACACCCUAAUAAAACUGCUAUUGGUUGUCAUUGGGUUUGUAAAAUUAAAUACAACUCUGAUGGCUCGGUCGACCGAUAUAAAGCACAUCUGGUCGCCAAAGGAUAUAACCAAAUAAAAGGGUUGGAUUACUUAGAUACCUUUACUCCUGUUGUCAAGCUCACUACCGUUCGACUCCUUCUUGCCAUAGCCGCCACACAGAGUUGCUCACUCAAACAGUUGGAUGUUAACAACGCUUUCCUCCAUGGUGAUAUUCAUUAAGAUGUCUAUAUGAAAGUUCCUCCUAGCCUUACCACUUCCACCCCGAAUCAGGUUUACAAACUGCAAAGGUCUUUAUAUGGUCUUGUUAAAUAUAGUGAAAAUUAUAUAUUGGAAUUAAUCCCUUGUGUUAAAUACACACAUAGGGUUCUCUAUUUAUAAUAGAAGAAAUAUGGGCUAAGCCCAAAUACAAAUGAAUAUGUAAGAAAAAAAAUAAAAUAAGAACAAUGUUUCCCUAAUAAACAUAUAGGGACUAUAUUUCCUUAAUUAACAUAAACAUGAUAUAAACUAAUUAUAAUAUCUCUAACACUCCCCCUCAAGCUGGAGCAUACAGAUUGUAUGGACCAAGCUUGGAAUAAAUAAACUCAAUUUGAAAUAUAUGAUCUGUCUUCAAGAGUGUGCGGCAAACAGAUGCGCAAUCACAUGUCAACGAACAACUAACAACAAUUUAUGGACAGUAGUGGACAAUUGCGAAAUUUCAAAUAGCACCAUGAAACUUCAAGUGGGAUGACUUUGAAAAAAGGAGAACAAUGACAAACUUUAGGGACUAGAUUGCCAUCAAGUAAGGAUAGGGCUUGCAUCAAAACUACAAGGAUUGCCAUCACUGAUUGAUGGGGCCUGUAGUGGCUAAAAGCGACAAAACUACAAGGACUGCCAUCACUGACUGAUGGGGCCUGUAUACAGAGACUGCCAUCACUGACAGAUGGGGCCUGUAUACAGGGACUGUCAUCAUGAUGGGGCCUGUACUGGUUAGAAACGAUAAAACUGCAAGGACUGCCAUCAUUGACUAGUGGAGUCUGAAAGCCUAAAACCUGGCUGGAAACAUACUCCCCCUCACGAUGAACGGCGGAAAUGACGGCCGGAGAUGGGGGUCGGAGACGGUGCCGGGGACGGUGGCCGGAGACGACGACCGGAGACGGUGGUCGGAGACGGUUGCCGGAGAAGGUGGUCGGCGGCGGCGGACUGCCGGUGACGGUGGCCGGCGGCAGCGGACGACCGGUGACGGUGGCCGUAGACAGUGGACAAGCUGCAGGUGGCGGCUGGUGGCGAACGACAACGGGCAGUGGCGGACAGCAACACCGGACAAAUACGAGACAGAAACUAGAGAUUGCCCAUUGAAAUAUAAAGGCACAGGUUGAAAAAGAAACUUUUAGGGAGGGGCCGCCGCCACCGGCGGCCACUGGCGGCAACAAAGACGAAGUAGAAAGGGAUCAGAAAACCUGCUUUGAUACCAUGUUAAAUAUAGUGAAAAUUAUAUAUUGGAAUUAAUCCCUUGUGUUAAAUACACACAUAGGGUUCUCUAUUUAUAAUAGAAGAAAUAUGGACUAAGCCUAAAUACAAAUGAAUAUGUAAGAAUAAAAUAAAAUAAAAUAAGAUCAAUGUUUCCCUAAUAAACAUAUAGGGACUAUAUUUCCCUAAUUAACAUAAACACAAUAUAAACUAACUAUAAUAUCUCUAACAGGUCUUAAAAAAGCUGACCGACAAUGGUAUGCUAAGUUACAUACUUUCUUAUUGUCACAUAAUUAUACUUGUUCCACUUCUGAAAAUUCUCUUUUACCUUAACAUGAUGGAAAUUACAUUACGACACUUCCCAUUUAUGUUGAUGACAUACUCAUAACUGGCAACAAUGAUGGAGAAAUUCAACGCAUCACCGGCCUUCUCCAUUCGAAUUUUCGCAUAAAGAAUCUUGGUGAUCUAACUUACUUUCUCGGCAUUGAAGUCGCUCGCAUCUCCAAAAUCCACCUUGCCAACAAAAGUAUGUCUUAGAUCUUCUUGCUGAAACCGGCUUGCUUGACAGCUCCCCUGUUCCUACCCCCAUGGUUCCUAAACAAUCUACUACUAAUAUCGUUCUGUCUUUAAAUGAUGAUGUUGUUGCCUCCUAACGUCGUCUCAUUGGGAAACUAAUCUACCUUACCACCACCCAUCCAGACAUUACCUUUGUCGUCAAUCACCUCAGUCAGUUCAUGUCUGCUCCUACAACUGCCCAUCAACAAGCCACUAAUCGUAUCCUACGAUACCUCAAAGGUACCCCUAGUGUUGGUAUUCAUUUUCCAUGCAACUCUAUUAUUCAAUUAAAAGAUUUUUGUGACUCUGAUUGGGCCACAUGCCCUGAUACUUGUCGUUCGGUCACUGGAUUCACUGUCUACCUUGGCAACUCUCUCAUUUCAUGGCGCUCCAAGAAACAAUCGACUGUCUUCCGUAGUUCUUCUGAGGUUGAAUAUCGUUCGCUAGCCAGCAUUGUGUGUGAACUAUAGUGGCUCAAGUAUCUGCUUCAUGAUCUCCACGUUGCUUACACGUCUCCCGCCCUCAUCUACUGUGACAAUCAAUCUGCCAUACAAAUUGCCUCUAAUCAAGUUUUUCAUGAACGUACAAAGCACAUUGACAUUGAAUGCCACAUUGUUCGUGAAAAGGUUGCAGCUAGGCUGAUCAAUCUUCUUCCCAUCUCCACAACACUGCAAAUAGCCAACAUAUUAACAAAAUCGUUACCUCCUCCUUCCUUUCAACUUCUUCGUUCCAAGCUGGGUCUCCAAAAUAUUUACACCCAGCUUGAGGGGGGCUGAUAACAGUAUACCACACGGUCUUAUAUUGACUUUCUACACCGUCCGCUCUAUUAUGUUGUGAAUAACAAUAUACUGCUCGGUUCGUUGACUUGCUCGGUCCAUUGACCUACUCGUCACCUGCUUUUUCUGUUUUUUUUGUUAUUAAUUUUUCCUAUAUAUUUUCCUCCUUUCUGUACUUCUUUUGCAUCAAUCAAUAUCCUUUUUCCUCUUUCUCUGGCUUCUCUUCUCUCUUUCUUCUUUUCCUUUAAGCCUUCUUUUCUUUACUGCGUUGUAAAUCUAUGAAUAGCUUCCUUGCAUUUCUUCAAUAUGCUCACACACUCCUCAUUGUUCCAGUCAUGUAGUCAUGUAAUAUCCACUGUUUUCUCAUCCAAAAAGUAGAAGGAAUUCAGCUGAUUAGAAUAAGCAUCUCAGGUAAUAUAAUUAAUAUAGUAGGGCCACUUAUUAUAAGUCAGAUGACCAAGUUGAAUCUGCACACCUAACAUUAACUUAAUUAGUUCUAUUUAUUAACCAUGUUUGUACAAAUCUACAUCCAAAUAAAGAAAGCAAAAAUAUGUUACUAUAAUAAGUAAUUUGAGGAGACAAGAGAAUAAAAAUGAGGAGCAAUAUUACUAUAUAUAAUUUGCUAUAUUUUUCGAUGCUCAUAUUUGAUUCUGAAACAAUUGCUCUUCGAUAUUGCAUUUGCAGAAGUAGUUAGAAUACACUAAUGCUACCUUAGUUACCGAUAAUCAUUAUAUAUGUUUAUUAUUUCAUUUGAUCAACAAUGGUGAUAUUGUUCUUUCUUUUCCAAUUAAUCAAUUAGUUGGUUCAAUUCUCUCAAGUUUAAUUAACAUCAGUCAAGUAUACAAAGAGGUUUAAAGUGUUAAAGUAUAACUAUCGACCCUACUACCGAAACAUAUGUAAAUCGACAUUGUAGUACAUUUAUUACGUGUUUUUAUUUUUUCAUGUAAAAAUAAAUUUAAAAUAUUUAUUUAAAUUUAAAAUAUUUUCAAUUAUGAUUUAUUUUACUUUCAUGAACUAUUCUUAGAUUUUCCAUUUAGAUAAAUGAAAAUUAUAAACUCACUUAAAAUGAUUUUUUAUACAAUAAUUAAAAAUAUAAAAAAAUCAUAAAACUUAGUAAAACAACUUCAAAAGAAAAUAUUUUUACGUUUUUUAUAAAAAUAUUUGUUUUAUUUCCUUGUCUAAACAUAUAAAAGGAAAACUUACAUAUUUAUGAUUUUUUUGGAUUUAAACUCAAAUGAAAACAAAUAAUUGUAUAAGAACUGCAUAAAUAUACUUUAUACGUGCGAAUGAAGUAACUAUUUAUAAGUGUGAGUUUUAAUUUAAAAAAAAUAAUUUAAAAACAUAAAGUUGAGCUAAACGUGAAAAUGAAAGUGGAAAAGUACGGCAAAAGGAUAAAUGAUAAAAAAAAAAAGAUACCAAAUAUAAAUAAUUAACCUAACAAUUUAAAGGGGGAUAUACAUUACCUGAAAAACAUGUAUGAUUGAUAAAAUCAAAUCUGCAAAUAUAUACAAAGAUAAACACAAAACUUUCAUUAAUAGUUGGUUAUUAUUCAUUUCACUUAUCCAUUUCUUGAUAUAUUAUUUGUUAGAAUUCCUUAUUUUACUAAUUGUACUUAUUUCAAAAUCAAUAAAUGUAUCGUAAUUAUUAAUAGUUGGUUAUAUUAUUUAUUAAAGUAUUGUGUUUUGUUUUACUUCUUUUAUUAGUAAUAAAGAUAAUAAAAGUGUCUCAAUCCAUGUUAAAAAAAGGAAAGAAAAAAUAUGUCUCAUAAUGCGAUUUUCUAUAUCAAGCAAGAAACUCAUUCAAGCAAAUACUAAUUCAAGAAAUAUAUGUCACUUUACUGACCUAUCAUACAUUCUACUCUUUUGAAAAUAGUCAGAAGUUAAAUUUCUUUGUUGAAAUUUCAAUUUAUGAAAGGUCUAGGAGAGACUAUCAUUAUAUAUGAUUUUCAAUACACCAUUAUUGUACGACUUGAUAAGGCUUUAAAGAAGUGGAAAAUGAACCUCUUUUGUGAGGACAAUAACAAUUUUCAUUAAACAUAGAAUAUAGUUCUAUUUUGCAAGUAACAUAUAUCUUGCACUUCACAACUUUGAUGUUGUAAGGAAACUUUAAUUUAAUUUUGUACGAUACGCUAUUUGGGCCGAACGGUUGCGAUUAGUAACCGCACGGUCCAACAUGCUUAUUGGGCCUCAAUCAUAUUAAUAAUAGGCCAUUAUCGCUUCAGUUAUUGGGCUAAUGGUCCAUCACAACGAUAUAAUCCGUUGAGAAUAAUAUCUUAACAAUCUAUAUCAGAAAAGAUUAAAUAAGAUAUGAACAGCCAGGUAUUCAGGUAGAACCGUUUAUAUUAUAUUCUGUUUAUAUUUGAUAAUAACCUAUAUAUACAGGGCUGGAAUCGUAUACCAGGUACGCUUUCUCAUACACAACUUUGCCUUACAAUAUUGUUAAGUGAUUUCACUCUGCAUUCUCAUAUUGAGAACCUUUAGCCUUGCUUUCGAGGCUCAUCAUCACUCACCCUGACUUGGGCGUCGGAGUGCCAUUGCAGGUACCUCCCCCCCGGUCGUAGCUUGGAGCUUCCGGACGGUUGAAGAUCAGAAGACAGCGGGAGCGCCACGUCAUCCAGGUUAGUCCCUUCGAUCCCCAAAAUAUUCAUACCGAAACAAAUUUCAUUACCUAAUUCAAUGUAAAUGGUUUAAAUGACGUUAGAUAUAUAUAAAUUAAGCAAUUUAUUCCUUACAAUGUGUCCAUUUAUUUUCUUUUCCUCAAUAUAAUGCUUUUUUAGAUAGAUUUACUAAAACAUUAUUUUUCAAGUAAACCGUUCAGAUUUUUUUUUAAAAGGAAAAAAAUAAAAUUAAAUUAUGGCAAAGUAAUUUGAAAUAAUUAACUAAAAGUAUUGAGUUUGAAGUUUAAUUGUUUUUAUAGAAGAAAUAAAAUAAAAGAUAAUUUAUAAUAUUUUAAUAUAAUUUCUAAUUAAAUUUUUUAUUAUUGAUAUUUGAAAAAAUAAAUUAUACUAGAAAAUAUUCAUGAUAAUUAAUAUUAUUAUAUUAACAAAAAUGACAGUAAUCACUACAAAAAUAGUUAAUUAUAGUAGAGGUUUAUUAACUGCGGUUUUAAUAACCUCAAGAUAAUUUUUAUAAUUUUUUUCAAAAUUGCAUAUAUUUCAACGGUUUUUAAUAGAACGGCAGUAAACAUUUUCCUUUUUUUUUGUUAAAUUAUAUUUCCGGCGGUUUUAUUCUAAAACCGUCCAUAAUUGUUAAAAAAGUUUAACACAUGUGCCUUCACAUUUUACCAGACUUUCCUCUAUUUCUUCUUCCUCAUUUCCCAUUUCCCUCUUCACUCUACCUUUAUAAUUAAUUAUUUCCUUCUACACCAGUUGUCUAGAUACUAUCUUGCUUUCCAUUUUGCGUUCACCAUUCAUGAUUGUCUUCUUCACUCUUUCGUCAUUGGCCCUUCACAAUCCUUAAUGUUUUCCCUUUCGUAUGAAAUUUGUUUCCCAUGCUCCUGUUCUCUUUGGAAAACCCUAAAAAUUUGAAGAGACUAAAGGUUUGGCAAUAAUGCUGCAAGAAACUUAUAGCGACACUCGUAACGGAGCUGGUGUAAUACUUUACACUUAAACACUCUGGGGCACUGCACUUCUCAGUCCCGAGCUCUGAUACCAUAAAUGUGACAUCCCAAAAUAUAUAGCAAUGUAUAUAUGUAGAAUGCAUUGAAUCAUGAUAAAGAAAGCAGUUAAGAGUAUACAAUAGAUAGGAUUAAGGAGUACAGUUAUCCAAAUCUGGCUGGGAAUUUUAAAACUUAAGGACAAGUUCAUAAUUCUCCAAAAUACAUGACUGAAUAAAGGUUUAAGGGGACCUAAAGAGUGUUUCCAAAAUACGGAUCAUGAUAAUAUGAAAGCUAGAAGUCUUUCAAAAUAAAGAGCUAUUUAAAUUAAAAGGUAGUAUAAAUCCUAAGCACUAGGGAAUGGGUCUUCCUCCACUUCCAAAGCUUUCUCUAAAGGUACAUCAUCACCUACUGCUCACAUCCAAAGGAUUGGAUGAUCAUCGCAAGGGGGAAGACAAACACAUACAAACAUACAAGUGCAAGGGUGAGCUAGGUCUCAAACAAUCAUAAAUUCAUUUCCAAUCAAUCUAGCAUUUCAAGAAUAUCCAUACACACAUAAACACAUUAGUCAUCACAAACAUAAGCAUUUAUUUCAUAAAACUCAUCAAAACAAGCAUCCUAUCAUGUUAAGACUUCUAGACACGUCCGGACUUGGAAUGUAUGUAGAGCUGGGGCGAGUUGUCCACUUGUGGUGGCCUCUACUGCUUUGCAAAGCCAUUGCUGAGGGGUUUUACCCGACCACACACAAGGCUAGUCCGUUACCGCGGAAUAGACCUCCAAUGAUAGCGCCUACCCUAGGACCUCCCACUACUCUCACCACCCGCGUCAAUCCUCUCUAAGUGAGAAUGAAAGACCGUUAGAGUGUUAGGGAUAACCCCCCAUAUGGAAGCCUCUUACAUUUAUUCAAUACACUAAAUGAUCUCACCUAGAGAUCUUACUUUCAUAUUCAAUCUGACCACUUUAGUUCACAAGAUAUACCUCUUGAAUCAAUAAUUCCUCUCAAAGUUUCACACCAAUUAAGACUUUUAAUCAUUUCAUGAUUCUUUUGAACCAAAAUCAAACCACACAUUUGAUCUUUAAAGAUCAAGUCAAAUAUAUCAGAACAUGCUUCACAACCCAAGCAAUUCAAUCAUUGAUUUAGAGAUGUUAAUUUAUAACCCAACAACAUAACUCAACACAUGUUCCUCUUGCAUAAAAAUUUCCAGUUUAUUAUCAUCCCAACUAUAAAACCCAAUAAAGUUGCAAAACAUCAAUGUUUUGGUACAGAAACAACAGCAAAAACAACCUAAUACAACAAAGAUGUUAAUGUAGUAACAACAAUCAAAACAAUUCAAUAUAACACUGAUUUUAGUCAUAAUAGCAAAUAAUUUUCUGCAGCCUUUUAAUCAAAACAACAAAUAAUUUUCUACAACAUUUCAGUCAAAACAGCAAAUAAUUUUGUGAGAACCCAAAAAAUAUCUAUAUAUAUUUUUAAAACAUAAAUAGAACUUUAGAACAAUUCCUAACUCAGUUUUUCAGAAAAAACACUUUCUCUCUCUAAAGACCAAAAUCCUCUUCUUUGUGCUUUGUCUUCUCUCUUAAAUCCUCCUUCACUAAAUCAUCUUCUCAACAAUCAGAACCCACAUAAGGAUUCCUGGCGUUGAGAGCUCGAAAUCUCACCGAUCAAUUUGGCAUUCCUCUAACUAGUAAGUGUUUUCCCCUUUUAUGUGUAAUUUAGGGCUAUGACCAUGUAAUGAGUUUGUUGCAUGUAGCCCAUUGUGUCUCUUUUCCAAUUCUAGCUUCAAUUACACUCUUAAAUUUGAAUCUUAUCACCAAAUGGUGAUUUAUAGGUGGUCUAGCACUUCCGGAAGUGAAAAGGGGCGUGCUUGAGGGUUUUCUUGAGCUAAAAAGAGGAAUUUUGUUACUGCAGUUUAGAGGUAAGGGAAGCUUAGGAUUUCUUUAUUUUCUGUUUUGGGAAUUUAGGUCGCAGGAAUUUGGGGGUUUUGUUUGGAAUUCUGAAAUUUGAAAUUUUUAUGUUGAACCAAAGGUUCAUGUAUGUCAAAUUGUAAAAUUGAUGCUUAUAAAUUGGUAUGAAUCAUGUGUGAUGCUAUGAAUUGAAUGUAGAUGUGUUAAAUUGCUUGGAUUGGACAUGUUGGAAGUGGUUGAAGUGGAAAAUUCUGUUAUAUUGUUAAUAUGAUAGAAAACCAAGUGUUUAGGUAAGGUUCUAGGUUCCUUGAGAGGAAGUGAGGUAGUGAAUUUGAGAAAUUGGGGUCAAGGGCACUUGUAGUAUGUUGGGAUAGUCUAGGCAUGUUAUUUUUGACUUGUUAGUGUCAUCAAACUGGUCAAAAGCAUGUGCAAAGUGGUAAAUCAGAAUUCAAGUCACUAAGUUCAUGAAAUAGUUGAAUUGGAACUCAAAUCUAUGCAUAAUCUUUAGAAUUAGUGUUAGGAAACCUGUGUUAAACCUCAAACAAGUCCAAAAUUAUCCCUACUUCGUGUUAGGAAGUUUAGAAUUUCACCAAAGGACCUAAAACAGAUUUUGAGGGUGUGAGUUCCUCAAAAUUCUGCAGAAAAUCUGCACAAUUCCACGACCCGUGUACUAAUCCACAACCCGCCUGUGGACUUCUCUGUUUCAAAUCUGUUCCUUUCUUGAUAAUUCCACAAGUUGUGGAAAUGUCCACAGCUAAGUCGUGGACCUCUCUGGUUUCAAGGUUUAGAUCAUAUUAGUUACUUUCAUUGCUUAGGUUUUAAUUGAAUUGUGAUGCAUUGUUGUAUUGUUUAUUGUACUUUGAUGUAUGAUUCAUGUAUGAUUUGUUAGUUGUGUUGUAUAAUUCCUUUUAGUAUGGUAUGACUUAACUAAGUAAGAUGUGUAUGAAAUUGAAUCAACCUAACAUCAAAAUGUCUAACAAUUAAGAAAUCAAAGUAAGUGAAGUUGGUAUUGUUUGAAAGGUGAAUCAAAGAGUUAAGUAUCAAGAUCUCUAGGUGAGAUCGUUGUUAAUGUUGAGAAUAAAUAUAGGAAGCUCAAUCUUGGGUGUCUCCAUUUUAUAUGGGCCAAGAAUGAGUGAUUCAAGUUAAGUUCUGGAAUGAAUAUAGGUAGCUCAGUCUUGGGGGUUGCCCUUAAAGCUCUAAUGACUAUUCAAUCUCAUUUAGAGAAGAGUAGUUCAUGUGGUGAAGAGCAGUAGGGGUCCUAGUCUUGGUUGUCUCCAUUGUAUAUGGGCCAAGGUGAGUGAUAACGGAUAACCUUGUGUGUGUGGUAGGGUGAAACCCAUUGGCAAUGGCUUUGCAAAGCAGUAGAGGCCACCACAAGUGCAUGACCCGCCAUAGCUCGAUAUUCAUUCCGGGUCCGGACGAGUCUAAGUCUAACAUCACUUAAUGAAACUAAAACUUAUAACCUAAUAACCUUAUUCGAUUACGAUUAUCUCACUUGUAUGUCUAAUCUUUCCUAGUUGGUUUUUAAUUGACUUGUAUUUUCUUUUGAAUUCUAGCUUACCCUUGCUUGUUUGCUGUUUGUUUUGUUUGUGCUUGUUUCCUUUUUGCAAUGAUCAUCCUAAUUGGAUGUGAGCAGAGAUUUCAGAAGCCUCAUUGGAGCAACUUCUUGAUGUACCAGAUAUCUCAGACACUACUGAUGCUGUAGAGUAGUGUAACUCAGUUAUCAUCUAUUGUACAUAACUUAGUUUUAGUUUCUUUUGCUUCUUUUGAAAGACUCUAUGCCAUAUGUAGAGCUUACAUCAUAUUUUGGAUGACUGUAUUAUAUACACUUCAUCUGAUAAUUCUCUUGACUGCUUUCUAUUAUUAUAAUAUGUUGCAUUCCACUUGAUAUGAAUUAUACACAUAUUUUGGGGAUGUUACAAAUUUUCUGCAACAUUUUAAUCAAAACAGCAAACCAUUUUCUGCUGCAUUUUAGUCAAAACAGCAAAUAAUUUUCUGCAGCAUUUUAGUCAAAACAACAAAUAAUUUUCUUUUAGAUCAAUAUCAUACGUAACUACUAACCUUAUACAUAAUUAUAUUAAUAUAAUAAAAAAAAAACAUACACUGCUACUAAUUAUAUAUAUAUAUAUAUAUAUAUAUAUAUAUAUAUAUAUAACUAUAUUACUAUACGUAAUCUUUAUAAUCUCUAUUACAAAUUAUAUUAAUACAAUUAUACCCCCUCUGCAACUUUUAUAUAUUGCUAUAUUAAAUUAAUAUCACAUACCAUAAACCAAAACUCCUUCCUACAAUUCUCUGUCACGAGUCCACAUAUCUAAAAAUUAUAAAACAAAUAAUUCCUCUUUCUUCUAUUCAUCAUACACUUUCUCUGCAACCAUUUGUUCCAAAUUAAUUUUCUUACUUUUAAAACUCCUAACUUGAACCUUCCCGCUUGUUCCCCACUGCCCCCCUUCUCUUCUACCACAAUCUUAUCAUUUGCUAAACCAAAGAAUUAUCCCAUAACCUAAACUCCUAAACAAAACAUUAAUCCAUCCCUAUUUGCGUCCACUGAUAAACAUAACACCCAUUACUCUACCUAAAGGCUACACAUAAAACUAUAGCUCUGCACCCGAUUUGAUAGCAUUAAAUAAAAAUAAAACUCUUGUUCUAGCAUUCAAAUCCAUUCCAAACAGAUUAUAAUCAACACACUACCAAUUCACAGAUUCAUCCUAUUCAAUUCAUAUAAAACCAGAUACACACAAUAAUCAAUUGCAGUCCAAACAGUAUAUAAUUUUUGAAAUUAACAUGCAUACUUAUACUAAAACAAUUCAACCCAAAAAUAUAAUAGCUCCCCUUACCUUCAAUUGGUAGCACAGAAGGAAUUUGCCCCCUUUUUCUUAAUCCUCAAUUAAAAACAAGAGUCACCUAUAGAUAGACAAAUUGUAGAUAGAAAAGGGUUUUUAGGAUCUAAUAGAAACUAGAAAUUUUUGGAAAAAGAACACGAUGAAUCACAUGCAGCAAAACUGUUGCAUGCCCCAUAGCCCUAAAUUGCAUGGAAGAGUGAAAAACAACUUACCCGAGGAGGAACCUAGAAAUUGAUCUGUGCAACUCGAAACCUUUGACGUCAAGAUUACCUAGGCGCUUACAGAAUGGAGAUUCAAUGGCUCAAUUGAAGAGGAAUCUAGAGAGAAGAAUAGGGGUUUGGAGAAAGCAAGGUUAGAGAGAGAGAGUUGUGUGGUGAAGAGGAAAUAACACGCUUAUGAAACUGUCUCAAGAAGCUACUAAACAUUUUAAUUUUCUAAAACUUAAUUUAUUUUUAUUUUAAUAUUCUUAAAUGUUUUAAAUUUUAAAUUAUGGGAUAUUACAUUCUCUCCAACAACAAGAAUUUUCGUCCCCGAAAAUUAAACUUACCAGAGAGAAGGAACAACCUACUCUCAUCACAAUUAAUUCUCCCCCUAAACCCUAAACUAUUAGUCUCACAGAUAAAGCUGGGCAAAAUUAAUUUAUUUGUACUAUAUUGUAAUUAAUUGUACUAUGUUAUACUAAAACAAGUGAUCCAUUUUUACUAAAAGUUCAGUAUUCUAUUUUAUGGUUCAGUUUUUAAAAAUUGAACUUAUAAUAGUUUCGGUUCAGUUAAAUGUGAGAAGUGUAUCUACUUUUUCCUCUUCUCUAGUUUCGUUCAACUACUUCGUCUUACCACAAAAACGUUAUUUAAUAAUAAAAUAUUAAUAAAAGAAACCGUUUACAUAAGAAAUUAAUAACUAAUAUUUUAAGACAAAACUUUUUUAUCACAAAUUUUUAAAUUUUUAUCAAUAAACACAUAUUACUUUUUAAAUAAUAUUACUUUAAUUAAUAAAAGUAAAAUAUACUAUUUUACAAUUUAGUUUUAUUAAAUGAUUAAGUAAUUGAAAUAAUAAAAGAAUAAAAGACUAUAUAAAAAAAAUAAUACUUUAAAUAUAUUAUAUUCUUUAACAUUAUUAAAUAUGUAAAAAUAUGUUAGAAAAAAGUUUUGUAAGCACACACUAAAAUAACUAUUUAUUUUAAAAAUCAACUUACUUUAAAAUAAAUAUCAAUAUUAUUAUCUUUAAAUGAUAGUAUUUUACAAACUAAAACUAAAAUAUAUUUUUUAACAUUAAAUUUUAUUAAAUUACUAUAUAAUGAAAUAUCAUAAAAAAAUAAUAAUAUAGCAAAAAUAAUUAAUAUUAUAGAAAUGUCAAAUGACAAAAAAAUUAAGAAACAUUUAUUGAGAGUAACUUUUCUAGUAUAAUUUUUUAUUAUAUUAUAAUAAUUAAUAAAUAUUAGUUUAAAUUUUACAUAAUAAAAUAUAAAUAUUAAAUAAUUGAUUAAUAAAAUAACUUUAUGAGGCAAAAAAAUAAAUAAAUAAAAAAUUAUUUUAAAAUAAAAUAAGGAGAUAAAAAGAUAAAAUAAAUUAUAUACACAUAUAAAACAAAAAAAAAAAUAUAAAUAAAAAAUUAAAAAAUAAAUAUAAAAGUAAAAUAAUAUUCAUGAAAAAAUAAAUAUAAAUAAAAAAAUAAAAAAUAAAAUGAAAUAAAUAAAUAAAUAAAAAAUAAAAUAAUUUCCAUACACAUAUAGUAAUAAAAAAAAUAUAAAUAAAAUAGAAAAUAAUAAUAUCAAAUAAUUAAAAAAUUAAUUUGUAAAACGCUUAUGAAUAAAAUAAAAUAAAUAUUAAAAUAAAUUUCAAUUAAAAAGGACAUGUAUUGUUAUACUAUUCAGUUUAAAAACUAGUACAAUUCAGUUUAAAAUUAGUAUAGUUAGUAGUUCAAUUCAGUUUAUAUCGUAGUAUAGUAUAGUUUAGUCUAGUUCAAUUCAGUCCAGUUUGAUAAAAAAAAAAGUUCAAUUCAGUUUAGACAAAUUAGUUUUUAGUUUAGUACAUAUUUUAGUAGUACAGUGCAAUUCAGUUCUAUUUGUCCACCCCUACUCACAGAUAUGCUUCGAGAACAACCACCCUUGGAUGUAGAAGUUCAUGCACCACCCCCUCUCCUCGCAGCUCCUCUUUCCCCUUUAAAUACUAUCUUUUCUCGCUUCCAACGCCAUACCUCACCGCCACUCUCACACCUCUUUUGCUCUCUUCCUCCCUCUCCUAUCGCAACUCGCGUUCAAGCGUUCCUCCCUACACCUCACUUGCCUUAUCCUUUACCUCCCAAUUGACAACUUUGUCCUUCUUCAUUUAAUAAAAUAAUAAUUUUUUAACCACCAAUAAUGUUUAACAUUGUAUUUUAAUCCCUGCACCUCCUUUUAUUAACAAAAUUAAAUUUAAUACAACCAUUUUUGUCACUUACAAAGCUAUUCAAUCUUGUAUGCACCUCAUCAAAUAAAAAUUUAAUUAAAUAUAACAAAGUAAAAACAGAAAAACAAUUAAAAAACCCUAAAUCCCAAUUAAUUGUUUGUAUCUCCAAGUGCAGAUAAGCAGCUCUCAAGUGCGGAGCGACGGAGAAAAGAAGACGCAGCUAAGUGCCGAGUGGAGAAACGCACCUCCCAAGUGCGGAGUGAAGAAAGGCACCUCCCAAGUGCGGAGAAAGAGAAGACGCAGUUCCCAAGUGCGGAGAAGGAGAAGACAAACUGUAGCUCCCAAGUGCGGAGAGAACGAACUGCAGCUUCCAAGUGCAGAGAAGACGAACCGCAGCUCCAGGUGCGGCUUCCAAUCAACCGCAACCCUCUCAACCGCACUUCCCUGUGCGCCUUGCCUCAACAUCAUGAACGUCAAUCCCAAAAACAAACACCUCUCAUAACCCACAAAACCAGAGGACUCCCUCAACAGUAAAAAAUGAGGAAGGAGGGGAAGAGGGGAGAAGUGAGAGAGAAAGAAAGGGGGUGUAGAGUUUCAGAUGAAAUGCGGCAAAAAAAAAAAUGUGAAAAAAUGCAGCAAAAAAGAGAAUGUUAAAAGAGGACAAAAUUGUCAAUUAAGAGGUGCAGGAUGAGACAGGUGAGGUGUAGGGAGGAGCGUUCCUCGCAUUCUCCUUUCACCCUACAUCGUCUUUCUUCUGCAACCGUAAGUAACAAACCCUAAUCUCACUCUUGCUCUCUUUACUCAAUCUAUUGGUUUCAGUUAAUUACUUAAUUGCGUUUCUAUUUUGCAGGAGUGUGAGUUAUGUGGACUCCGCGCUUCGGAUUUCAGAAACCUAUAAUGUGUACAAUCUGGAGAUAGGGCACGUGUCUUAUUGUUCUCUUAUGAGAUUGUGAUUUUACUGCUAAAUUGUAUGCUAAUCGAUUGGAGAUUUCAAGUGACAUUUAGUAAGAAAUCAAGUGAUCUGUUCAGGUCCUUGGGCACUUUUUUAGCAUCCUACAUUAGUUAUUGAUGUAGCCAAUCGGGCAGCUAGAAAAGCUGCAAGCUUCAUUUAUAAUUCUAUGAAUGGAAAUGGUGAAUCUGGCACUGGAAUUCAUGAUAAUGCCAAUACAAAAGCCAAGUUAAUUUUUUGGAACUACACCUUUUACUUCCAUGAUUCCAUCUUGCAAUAUGUGUAUUCAACAUUCUUGAUGUGUAUUUUUCUGCUGAUAUCUAUGAUACUUGGGAAUUAUCUUCCAAGUGGGAACUUGAGGCAUCUCAUAGUGGAGGCUUGCAUAGUUAAGAAUUUAAUGGAUACGCCAGUGCUUUUGUCCUGGUUAUGUCUCUACAUCUGUUUUGUCUUUUUCAGAUUCAUCACCUCUUAUAAUAUAUCAUUAUUAUAUUGCAAAAGAUGAAACUGAUGCAUUUAAACGUUUGAAAAUUAACGUUGGCAACGGAAAAAUAUUAUAUUUUAUUAAUUGCAAAUCAUUUGUUUUAAUGCAGCAACGUUCAAAUUUUGCUGUAACGUUAAAAAUAAUUUAUGUUUUUUAAUUUCUUUUAUUUCUUUUAUUCUUUCCUGACUCUAUAAAUAGGGAGCUUUCCCCCAUUCCAAAACACACAAAAAUCAUUCUUUCUCAUUCUCCUCUUCUUUGAGUUUUAUUCUCUAGUUUUUUUUUCUCUUUUCUAAAAAUAUUAUGGGUUUGUUUCUAUACUCCUUUUAGAGUUCUUUGCUAGUUCUGAGAUCAUCAGAAAUAUUCUGAGAAGUUCCUAUUGUAUCUUGGGGUACUUGCGCACACCGCGGAUAAGUCCUUAAGGACAGUGACUCUACAUGCCUCAGGAAAUUUUGUUCGUAAUUCUGUCAGCCUUUUACAACAAUCUUAAGGACUUAUGGCUGACGUCAACAUGCCUUCAGAGAACCAAACCAACAACAUGCUUUUGGAGAACCAAACCAUUGUUCCCGGAACCGAGACGGUCUUCGCAAAAUCACUUCUGGACGUGUCUAAAAUCGAGGUUUUGUCUAGACAGAACUUCCGACGCUGGCAAGAACGUGUUUCCACCCUUUUAGACAUGUAUGGAGUCACUGCUGCUCUUUCAUCUUCAAAGCCCGACUCCUCUAUUCCUUCAGACUCAAAACUAGUUGAAGAAUGGACUUAUGCGAACAAGGUAUGCCGACACACUCUGCUUAAUGCACUUUCUAAUGAUUUGUUCGAUGUGUAUUAUUCCUACAAGGAAGCAAAGGACAUUUGGGACUUGUUGAUUCUCAAAUACACUGCCGAAGAUGUCGUCAAACAAAGGUUUGUCAUAGGAAACUACUACCGUUGGGAGAUGGUUGAAGACAAAGACAUUAAAACUCAAAUCAAUGAAUACCACAAGCUGCUCGAAGACAUCAAAGCAGAGAACAUUCUACUUCCGGAUGAAUUUGUUUCAGAACUUCUGAUCGAGAAAUUGUCGCCAUCUUGGACAGAUUACAAAAAACAGUUGAAACACAGGCGCAAACAGAUGACUCUAUCAGAACUAAUUACACACAUAAUAAUUGAAGAUACCAACAGGAGGAGUCUACUACUGCAAGGGUCAAAGCUUUGACUACAAAGGCAAAUAUGGUAGAAGUAAGACCUACUCCCAAAAGGUACGAACACAAACCUGAUCACAAAAGGAAAAAUCAUUUUCUUAAAUCCUGUCCCAAUGAAUCUAAACCCACCUUCAAGAAGAAAGGAAAUUUAUAUGACUCAACCUAAAUGGUGUGUUGUACCUGUUCAAGAGAAUAAGGUAUGUAAACUUUUAAAAUCUUUGUAUGGGUUGAAAUAAGUACCAAAACAAUGGCAUGAAAAACUAAUGUAUUGUUAUGUGAUGGUUUUUCAUUUAAUGAUGCUGAUAAAUGCGUGUACUCUAAAUCUAAAAAUGGUGAUAGUGUCAUUAUGUGCUUGUAUGUGGAUGACAUAUUAAUAUUUGGUACGUGCAAUGAGAUUGUCGCUAGAACUAAAUUGUUUCUAGGAUCAAAAUUUGAAAUGAAAGACAUGGGUGAAGCCAAUGUGAUUUUAGGUAUUAGAAUCAUAAGGAAGGGAGAUAGUAUUUUGCUUUCUCAAGAACCAUACGUGGAGAAACUUCUUAAGAAGUUUGGGUUUUAUGACUUAAAACCAGUAAGUACCCCUUAUGAUGUUAAUUCUAAAUUAAUGAAAAAUAGAGGAGAAUCAUUAUCUCAACCUCAGUAUGCUCAGAUAAUUGGGAGCUUACUGCACUUAAUGUGCUUUUCUAGACCUGAUAUUGCUUAUGCAGUAGGUAGACUGAGUAGGUACACUCAAUGUCCAAAUCAAGAACAUUGGGAUGCACUUGCUAGGCUUAUGAGAUACUUAAGAGGUUCAAUGGAUUAUGCCAUUGAAUAUAGUGGAUUUCCCGCUGUACUAGAAAGGUACAGUGAUGCUAACUAGAUCUCUGAUUCAGACGAGACAAAAUCCACUAGUGGUUAUGUAUUCACACUUGGGGGUGGUGUGAUUACAUGGAGAUCAGCUAGACAAACUAUUAUUGCAAGAUCAAUAAUGGAAUCUGAGUUUUUUUCUCUUGAGAUGGCUAGUAAUGAGGCUGAGUGGUUGAAAAACUUCUUAGCGAACAUUCCACUAGGAAUGAAACCAACCCCAUCGGUAUCAAUACACUGUGAUUGCCAGUCGGCAAUAGCUAUAGCUAAAAACAAGAAUUACAAUGGAAAGAAUAGACAUAUACAAUUGAGACACAAUUUGGUGAAGCAGCUGCUAAAGAGUGGAACUAUUUCCAUUGAUUAUGUGAAGUCAGAACGGAAUCUAGCGGAUCCUCUGACAAAAGCCCUAGGAAGACAAAUGAUAUUAGAAACAUCGAGGGGAAUGAGACUUAAGCCACUUGCAAACAAACAAGUGAUGGUAACCCAACCUUUGUGAUUGGAGAUCCCAUGAAUAAGGUUCAUAUGGGUAAAAACAAGUCACUUGUUAGUUCUGAUAGCACUAAAUUGAUUUUAAUCAAUUAUGUCCCUUCCUAUGGUGUGUGUGAUAGUGCUAGAGACUGCAUUAUUGAGAGGCCAAACUUUGUUAUUAAAAUUCUAUGUGUUGGAAGAAUUUUAGCCUAAACAAAGUUUUUAAUGAUUUUCAUAUCCCUUAUGGGUGGUGUAUGAUUUGCAACAUACACUUGAUGAAAUCACCUAUAUGAGUGUCAAGUGGGGUCGCUUGCAUGAGAUCUUCGCAUGAUUUCUAGAGCACUCAUGAAUAUCGGGCAAGCAUAUGGCCUAGUAGCGCAACACAGCGAUAACAGCAAGGAUUGUGGGUGUGUAUUGUGAUUGACAAAACCUCUAACACACGUCAAGUGUCUUUGGUUCAUAUAGCUUGCUAUACCAAUUACACUGUGUGUUAAGUAUCUCAAUCUAAGACUGGUUCAUAUAGCUUGCUAUACCAGCUCUGAUGUGUUACAUCUUAUGAGACCCAGAAUAAAAGUUUUUAUUUUUUCUUUCAACUUUUACAAUAUGUGGGGGAUUGUUAUAAUAUAUCAUUAUUAUAUUGCAAAAUAUGAAACUGAUGCAUUUAAACGUUUGAAAAUUAACUUUGGCAAUGGAAAAAUAUUAUAUUUUAUUAAUUGCAAAUCAUUUGUUUUAAUGCAGCAACGUUCAAAUUUUGCUGCAACGUUAAAAAUAAUUUAUGUUUUUUAAUUUUUUUUAUUUCUUUUAUUCUUUCCUGACUCUAUAAAUAGGGAGCUUUUCCCCCAUUCCAAAACACACAAAAAUCAUUCUUUCUCAUUCUCCUCUUCUCUGAGUUUUAUUCUCUAGUUUUUUUUUUCUCUUUUCUAAAAAUAUUUUGGGUUUCUAUACUCUUUUUAGAGUUCUUUGCUAGUUCUGAGAUCCUCAAAAAUAUUCUGAGAAGUUCCUGUUGUAUCUUGGGGGACUUGCACACACUGCGGAUAAGUCCUUAAGGACAGUGACUCUACACGCCUCAGAAAAUUUUGUUCGUGAUUCUGUCAGCCUUUUACAACAUCACCUCCAGAAAAAUCUCCAUUGUCAAUGUUUAUGGAAGGAACACCAUUAAACAAUACUCUUAUAAGUUCUUUAACAAUGAUCCCUGCCUCAAGGUUUAUUUCUUUUGUCAAAUUUGAUCUAAUUUUGAUGUUAUUUUAACUGCUAAUGAUUGACCUUCAUAAUCUUCUUCUAUCUUAGCCUGACAAAGAUAGAGAAGUUAUACUAUAUUGCAUUAAAUGGAUCAGAUGUGGAAAGGCCAGCAGCUGCAAAGAUUCUAUGUGGUGCAUCUCUUGGUCAUGGAUGGUAUAUUCAGGUGAAAAAUCCUAUUCCUACUAGAGAUAUUGUAAAUUGGUAAUCCUCCUGCAACAAUAAAAAGUGCAAGUGCAAGUGUUAAACGUGUAAAAAAAGGUGAAGAAUGACAUAUAAUAUAGUAACUAAUAAUAAUUUUAAACUAAAUAAUGUAGUAUAUGAUAUAAAAAAUAAAAUUUAAUAAACUAGAUAAUACAUUGGUUUUGUUCCUUCAAUUUUUGAAUGUAAUGUAAAAGUUUCUCUAAUUAGCUUCUACAAAAGCUCUAUAAAAGUUAACUUUUUUAUUGAGCUCUGUGUGGAGAAAAAUCCAAUAAGUUGGGGUGAAUGCUGAAGAAGUAGAGAUAUUGCAUUCAAGCCAAGGAAACAAAAGAUCAAUUACGUCUUUAAUCAUGUUAUCUGCCAUAUUUGUUCAUCUACAUUUUAGCAAUAUAAAAACCAUCCUUAUGCAUCAUUACUGGAAACUUAAUGUAUAUGAUUGUAUUUAUCUUAUAUGGCUAUUGUUAUUGUCAUUAGUUAUUUUGGAGAGGAGUUGGGAUAUGAUCAAUAUUUUAAUUUCUAAAAGCAAGUUAGAAUCCUUAAUCUAAAUUUUUGAACUAGGAUGGGUAAGUCUCUGUGUGGAACCAUUUUCGUAGGGUAUUGCACAAAUUUAGUGAACUAAUUCUGUCUCUUAGACUAGAUUAUUUUACGAGAUAAACUUGUCAAGUUUUUUAGGUACUUCCCUUGAACUUCUUAUGACUAGAUUACUGUUUUUGAGCUCACAAGAAAUUAGUUGUGUGGUUUUCCAUGUGCUAAUACAAGUUCAAUUUGCUAUAGCACAAGUUGAUGUUGGUCUUUCCUUGAUUAUGAAUUGCAAGUUGGGAACUAUGUUGAGAAGAUUGGUUUGUGUAUGCAUGACAGGGAAAAGAGAAGAUUGGUUUGUGUGAUUGGUUUUUAAUUCACUUUUUAUUAAAAAAAAUUGUUGGUUGAAUAUUUAAAACCUUUAGUAUUUUUUAAUUAAAUUAUUAUUAUUUAAUUUCUUUCAUUAAUUGAAUGAUAUAAUUACUGUUAUAUUAUUUGCUUAUCUCUACAUCUUGAUAAAUUUAGAAUCCCUUUGUUGGCUUGAUCGGGUGGAGAAGUUGAGGAAAAGUUGGAGUAGCUCAUUGCAAUGGGGUCAUUGGGUACAACAUACUCUCUUAGGUCUACUAUGAACUUUAUGCAUCAAAAUCAAUAUUGUUAACGAACAUUUUCUCAAUCAUAUUUUUAGUAUUUUAAUUUGGGUUAAAUAUGUUUUUGAUUCCUUAACUUUUAGUAAAAAUUGGAAUUAGUCCCUCUUCAAAACUUUGGCCUAAUUUAGUCCCCCAACUUUAGAAAUGUAUGAAUUUAGUUCUUUUAACGAAAAUUCGUUAACUUUAUUUGAUGCUUCAAACUAAUUUAGUUCUUUACAAUAGUAUAAUUAUCUAACUAAUUUAGACUUAGAAUGAUUCUGUUUAAUAUGAAUUCGGUGCAAUGAAAAUAAACAUAAUGCAUAAGUGGUAAAUUGAACUUCUUGGGGUUAAAACACUUGGAAAUUAAAUGAUUAGAGAUUAUAUGGAAUGAAGAUGUUGGAGAAUGAUUUUACCUACUACACUCUCAUGCAAAUGCACAUUACUAAUUCUUCAUUUAAUUGCUCAUGCCAACCUACUAAGUUACUCAAACGCAAUCCCUUGGUAGAGAGAGCCUAGAUUCACUCAUUAAAUUCCAAUCCCUUGGUAACCUAACAAGUUCAUCUGCAUUAAUAUUAGAGGUUUAAGACAACUAAAGGUCCAAGCUCUAUCCCUAGACACAAUUUUCUUUAGGUGUUUAGUCCAGUUCAAGGUUCACACAAUAUUUCCCAAUAUCAAGCAAACCAAAUAAUCAUGCUAUGGUUGAUCAAGUCAUAACAAGGUUUAAGAGAAGGAAAUAAACACUUACAAUAAAUGAAAGAAGCUUAUAUUCAUUAAACACAAGUGCAUUUACAAGAAAGUUUCGCAGUUACAUCAUUCCCCAACAAAAUGAACUUGAUCUUACAAUGGAAGAAUAGAGAGUUCCCACUGCUCAAAACCAACUCCCAGAGGUCAAAAAUGGUGUUUUAGAGCUUCAACCGCCAAGAAGAUGGCACCCUCAUUACAUGGAAGCCUUAAAUAGGGCUAAGGUGCCACAUUAGCAAAAGUCGUGCCCAGCCCCCCCUCUUCUUAGGCGCCCAGGCGCGAGGGUUGCACAAGGUCAGCAAAGUAAAUGGUGCCCAAUCCCCUUGUGGGGCGCCUAGACGUGAAACUCGCAGUGAAAUGCGAAUUGAAUGGGGCUCAGCCCCCCUCCUGAGGCGCCCAAGCGUGGGCAAUCUUUCAUUAUCCUUAAAAACACUUGCUUUUUGCAGCUUUUUCUAGGCUCCUACUCUUGGUAGUUUAGAUGUUAUUCCAAAGCACACAAAUUCCCUACAAAACUUGAAGAAUUAGAGAUGGAAACUCCUAUGUGUAACCUAAGCUAAACUUAUUCACAAAGUUAGAUAAAAGAGAGGAUUAAGCAUGUUUCAAGUUCAAGAGAGUUCAUUUGGUAAGAAAAUUGCACCACGGAUAAUGGUAAGAAUUACCGUUAUCACUAUUCCUAAUAAUAUACAGGAAGCUUUGGCAGAUCCUAGACGGACCAAAGCAAUGGUUGAGGAGAUGACAACUUCAGAAAAAAAUAACACUUGGGAUCUUGUGUCCUUACCAAGAGGGAAGAAAAUUGUGGGUUGCAAAUGUGUAUUUACAAUUAAGAAUAAACGUAUGGAACUAUUGAGAGGUAUAAAGCAAGACUUAUGGCUAAAGGUUACACUCAAUCUUAUCGUAUAAAUUUCCAAGAGACUUUCGCACCGGUAGCCAAGCUCACUGUGAGAAUACUUUUGUCGUUAGUUGCAAACUAAGAUUAGCCUCUUCUACAAUUUGAUGUGAAAAAUGCUUUUCUACAUGGAGAAAUUUCAAAAGAAAUUUACAUGGAUUCUUCACUAGGCAUGAUAGAUUCAAUUGGAAUGAGGGUUUGCAAAUUAAAGAAGGCUUUAUAUUGAUUAAAAUAAUCCCCAAGAGCAUGGUUUGGAAGGUUUACCAAGUCUAUGAAAGUUUUUGGCUAUAAAGCAAGUAACUUUGGUCACACCUUAUUUUUUAAGAGUGGAAAAGGAAAAAUUACAGCGUUGAUUAUAUAUGUAGAUGACAUGAUUGUUAUAGGAAAUGAUCAAGAUGAGAUUUCUAGUUUACAAAAUACCUUGCAUCUGAAUUUGAGAUGAAACAACUUGGAAACCUCAAAUAUUUUUUGGGUAUUGAAGUAACUAGAUCAAAACAUGGUAUUUUCCUAUGUCAAAGAAAAUAUACUAUUGACUCAUUGUCGAAAACUAGGCUACUUGGGAGUAAACCAGCUGAUACACCAAUUGAACAAAAUCGUAAACUCUUUUAAUGCUCAAAUUCAGCAAGCAUAAACAGAGGGAGAUACCAAAGAUUGGUUGAAAAAUUAAUUUAUUUGUGCCAUACACGUCCAUAUAUCACCUAUGUAGUGAAUGUUGUUAGUCAAUUUAUGCAUGACCCACAAAAACUUCAUAUGGAUGUUGUUGAGAGCAUUGUGAGAUAUUUGAAGUUCGCUCCUGGAAAAGGAAUUUUGUUUUAAAAUUAUUGAAACUUAAAGGUAGAAGGGUAUACUGAUGCAGAUUGGACAAGUUCAAAAUAUGAUAGAAGAUCUGCCUUUGGAUAUUUACUUUUUUGUAGGAGGGAAUCUUGAAACUUGGAGGUGUAAAAAACAGCCUGUAGUAGCAAGAUCUAGUGCUGAAGCACAAUUCAGAGGCAUAACACUAGGUGUAUGUGAACUUUUGUGGAUUAAAAAUGUGCUAUCAGAUUUGGGCUUUAAACCAAAUGAAGUUAUGAUUUUGUACUCUGACAAUACUUUGGCUAUAGCAAUUGCUCACAAUCCUAUGCAACAUGAUAGAACAAAAUAUGUGGAUAUAUUGAUAGACAUUUUAUCAAAGAGAAGCUUGAAGCUGGAAUAGUUUCAUUUCCUUUUGUAAGAUCAGAAUUGCAGUUGGCUGAUGUUCUCACUAAAGGAGUGUCAAGAAGAUUGUUCAAUAAGUCUCUAUUCAAGUUGGGAAUGUGUGAUAUCCAUGUACCAACUUGAGUGGGAGUGUUAAGAUAUGCCAAAUAUUCUAUUAACGGAUAUUAGGUAAUCAAAUAUUGUGUUNGUUAUAAUUUAGAUAUUAUUAUAAUUUGUGCAGAUUCGUACACCUGUCAUUCCUUUAAUAGAUGAAGAAUUGUAGGAUUUUUGUGUGUACAUAUAUAUAUAUAUAUAUNNNNNNNNNNNNNNNNNNNNUAUAUAUAUAUAUAUAUAUAUAUAUAUAUAUAUAUGUAUAUAUAUAUAUACAUAUAUACAUAUAUACAUAUAUACAUAUACAUAUACAUAUAUAUACAUAUAUAUACAUAUAUAUACAUAUAUAUACAUAUAUAUAUGAUACUCUACUCUUUAAAAUAAUACAUCAGAAUUAUUCUUUAAAUCUUUUUGUUAUGAAAGUACACUCACUAUAUUUUGGAAUCUAAUUAAGCCUUCCACCAAAUUUCAAAAGUCAAAAAAAACUUUUAAUUAGAUUUCAAAAUCAGUUAGGAGCUCAUCAGAAAAUUUUUAUUCGAAUAUGAUUCUAGUUCCCAAUGUAUCUAAAUCCGAUAGAUUCUUUACUGAAUUUUAAAAAUUGGAUAAAAGCUAUAAUCGGAUUUUGUAAUUCAAUAAUUCUAUAUUUCUAAAUCCAUAUAGCACUCAUUUUUAUCUUCAUAUAUACUAUAUUGAUCAUUUUAAAUGGAAUGCAAAUCAAUAUAUUUAAAAAAAAUGGAAUAUGCAUAUCUGGUGACUGGUGUCACUAGUGGAAAAACGUUGUAUAACGUCACAACAUAGACGUCGGUUGUUAUGUGCACUGACGUAAAACGUUGACCAGUGGCAAAUUCGUAAUUAAGUAGGACAAGUAGAUGUCGGGCCCUGGCCUAACCGAUUCCUGAAGAAGUCUAGACGUCGGUCCCCCUAUUAGGCGACGUCUAAAGGGAUGUCAGGUAAGGUCAAUAAUCGACCUAUAGACGUCCACAAGACAACCACCAACGUCUAUAGGUCUCAGAGAUGGUGAAAAGUCGCGAGGUAGACGUCGGUGCCCCCUAUUGGACGUCUAUAACCUAACAGGUAGUUGGGUGCCAUUAUUGUCUGAGACAUAGACGUCGGCGUCCCCGCUAAGGGACGUCUAUAACCUGACAGUUAGGUGAAACUAUAAUGAUUAUGCUACAAACUAGACGUCGGUUACCAUGCAACCGACGACUAUGUCCAACUAGACGUCAGUUGUGCACAUACCUGAUGUCUAUAAUCCACGCCAACAUUAAUAUUUAAAUCAUAUAGACGUCGAAUUAAUGAGAGCACCGACGUCUAUAACCUUACAAACGUCUGUCGAGAUGGAUAACCGACGUCUAAAGUGACAUAAACUUCAGAACGCGAACCUGCGAGCAGUUUCCACUAUUCAUCGUCUUCUUCGUCGAGAGCCCUUCUCCGUCGUGCCAUUAGAGGUUCGUUUUCUGUGUUUUUGACCGUUUAAAUUUAGUUUUGCUCUGAUUGAAUUAGUCUUUGAUGAAAAAGCUUUCAUUUGAACUGAUCAUAAUUUCAUUUCGUUGCGUUUUGUUGCAGUUUCGAACAUCUUAUUAGGUUGCGUUUUCGACUAUUUUUGGACUUCUUUUCUGACCUAUAUUUGGGCGUGCACUACGACAGCUAUCUCAUUUGGUUAUAUAUAAUCUGCUAAAAAGGUUAGGUUGUUUCUUGAAAACUUAAUUUGUAUGGAUAUUAUUAGCUUUUGUGUAUGAUGUUGGCAUUUUGAAUUUGCAUUUUAUUAGUUUUUUUUAUGAUUUCAUAUUGACGUUUAGGUAUACAUGUGUUUGCAAAUUGUUAGUAUAUGCAUGUGUUUGCAGAUUGUUGGUAUAUGCAUGUGAUUAAAUUUAGUUGCAUUAGUGUGAAAUCACUUAGUGAAAAUUAUUUCUCGUUUGAAAUUUAACACAAACGAUUAAAAGAUUAAUCGUUUGUAUUAAAUUUUGAAUUGUCCGAUUGUCCAAUUGUCCAAUUUUAUACUGAUGAAGUAUGUUAUGAACAUAGUAUGGAUCGAAGCUGGAUGAAUGCACGUCGCCUCUCUGAAGAAUAUGAGAAGGGUGUUUCGGUGUUCUUGCAAUAUGUUAAAGAAAAGGCAAAGUCUGUGAACGGGACAUAAUUUCUUCCUUGUGUUCGUUGUCUUAAUCAAAUGCGACAAUACUUGGGCAAUUUGCAUGAUCAUCUAUUCAUGUUCGGCAUAACGAGAACGUAUACGGAUUGGACUUGGCAUGGAAAAGUACUGGACCAACCUAUGACGUCACGAGGAACAAAUUAUGUAGAAGAAUGGAUGAGUGAUCAUUUAGAGGACAUGAUACGUGAUGUUGGUGAAGAUAACUUUAGAAGAGCUAAUUUGUACGAUUUUGUAAUCAAUGAUUCUGAGCAACCGUUGUACCCAGGCUGCAUGAACUUUACACGUUUAUCUACAACUUUGAAGUUGUUCAGUUUAAAAGCAAGGAACGGAUGGAUCGAUAAAAGUUUCACGGAGUUGUUGGAUUUACUGAAGGACAUGCUUCCAGAAAAUAAUACUCUUCCUAUUCAAAAUUACGAGGCCAAAAAAGUUUUAUGUCCAAUGGGUCUUGAAUAUUAGAAGAUACAUGUUUGCCCCAAUGAUUGUGUUUUGUACACCAAGGAGUUUGCUUCACUAAAGUACUGUCCAACAUGUGGUAUAAGCCGUUUUAAAAAGAAAUCUGACAAAAACACUAGUGAAGAAGGUAAUGAUGGUGCACCUAGAAAGGUCAUAUGGUAUUUGCCUAUAAUACCUAGGUUCAAACGUAUUUUCUCUGUUAAGGAGGAUGCAAAGAACCUUAAAUGGCACGUUUUAGGAAGAAAGUGCGAUAAUCUUCUUCGCCACCCAGCAGACUCACCAUAGUGGAAGAAGAUCAAUGAAACAUUUCCAGAAUUUGGUGCAAAUCCAAGAAACUUAAGACUUUCACUUGCAACUGAUGGCAUGAAUCCGUACGGGAACUUAGGUAGCAAACACAAUUCAUGGCCAGUUAUGUUGAUGAUAUACAAUCUUUCUCCUUUGCUGUGCAUGAAGAGAAAAUAUGUCAUGUUGUCAAUGAUGAUAUCUGGUCCUAAACAACCUGGCAAUGACAUUAAUGUUUACUUGAAACAUUUAAUUGAUGAUUUGAAAUUGUUGUGGGAAGAAGGUGUUGAAGUGUUUGAUUCAGAUGUUGAAGAGAAUUUUCGUUUGCGUGCAAUGUUGUUUUGCACUAUAAAUGAUUUCCCGGCCUAUGGAAACUUGAGCGGUUAUAGUGUUAAAGGACAUUUUGCAUGUCCGAUUUGUGAAGAAAACACUAGUUACCUUCAAUUGAAGCAUGGUCAGAAGACGGUUUAUACAAGACAUCGAAAAUUCCUUCCUUGCAAUCACCCUUAUCGUAGAUUGAAAAAAGCAUUCAAUGGAAGUGCCAAGGAUGAGGUUGUGUGCAGACCCCGGAAUGGUGAAGAGGUGUACCACAAAGUCAAAAACAUUGACAUUGUAUUUGGAAAACAUUGUAAAAGUACAUAUCCAAAAAAUGUUUGGAAGAAACGAUCAAUAUUUUUUAAUCUUCCUUAUUGGUCUUUCUACGAAUUUAUAUUUACAUGAAAAUUUCAAUUUCAAUUCAUAAUAACUAACCUUGUGUAUAUUUUUAAGGUAUGUCGACCUCAGACUCAGCAUCAGCACAGAGCAAACGUACAAGAGGAGUGACACAUUUGCUAGAAGCGACAUCCGGACAGGUUCCUGGGCAGAGGAAACAUCUUGAGAUUGACCCAAGAACAGGUGUGGCCUCAGGGCCAAAUCCUGAUAAUUUUAGUAGUUAUCUGGGUAAGAUAGCCAAAACCCAUGUUUCUAUCCUUCACGCAACUUGGGAUGACAUCCCAGAGGUCGAGAAGAACCUUUUAUGGCGAGAUGUUCAGGUAUGGUUACUUAAAAGAAAUUUGAUAUAAUUAUUUAUUUGAUCUUAUUAUGUCAUUCACACGUUCCUUGUUUUAAAAAGCUAAAAUAUGAUGUUUCAAACACCCAGAACAUGAGGCAGAAAAUCUUAUCGCACAUAUGUAAGAUGUGUAGGGAUUUCAAGAUAAGGCUGACACAUGUGUAUGUAUUUGGAAAAAGACAACAUGAGAAUCCAUCUCAGAAUUAUUCCUUUACAGAAGAAGAAUGGAUCCAGUUUCGUCAAUCUAGAGAGACUGAGGAAUGGAAUGUAUUAAUCUUAACCAACAACGUCUUCAAAGCAGUUUUUAUUAUUAUAUAGUUAUGCGUAAAAAUUGUUUUACAGGGUAAAAGGUUAGCUGCCCAAGAAAGGCAAAGGCUAAAUGAUGCACCACACGUCUUAUCACGAGGUGGUUAUGCGAAACUGGAGAAGAAACUUAGGAAGGAUCGAGCGGAUGAGUUGGGGCUUGAGUCCCCGGACCUAGCACCUCCACCUACAAGGUACGAGAUGUGGAAGGCUACUCGGACGAAAUCUGAUGGGAACAUGACAUCUGCCUCAGCCAUAGCGAUCUCAUAGAGAAUUGUAAGUUGAAAUUGUAAACAUUACUUUAUUGGCUUUUUAUCAUAUCUUGCAAUUUAAGUAACGUAAAUUUUUUAAUGUGCAGGAUGAGUUGGUUGAGCAGCAGACACAGGGAACAUUUAUUCCCCAAGGUAGGGAUGACAUUUUAACAACGGCCAUUGGCAAACCGGAGCACCCAGGACGUGUACGUGCAGUUCCUGGGUCCAUUGGUCUUCGUGAGUACUUUGGCCCUGUACAAAAAACAACUCAAUCAACAAAUCAGGAGGCACUGAAGCAGAUGGAUCUUCAGUGGGAACAAAGAAUUCUUCAAAUGGAGCAACGCUUCACUCAACAACUAGAAUAAAAAAAAUAAAUACAAAGAGCGCUGGAAGAGAAGCUAUAAUCCAUGACGUAGGCCACCGUGGGUGUGCCCACUAAAACUCCCACACCACCUCCUGCCAACACCAAAGGAUCCUGCUCCGCUGUUGAACCUACUAACUACAUUGGUCAGUAUGACUUGUUGGUUGAUGGGGAUCCCGCACGCAUUGUGGUUGUCAGACGAGUAAUUGAGGGAGGCCAGACUAUUCAUGGUGUUCCCAUAUCACCCGACCACGUGCGUGUCAUGAUUGACGAGGUUCGGGAUCCACAGGCUCAGGUGUUUGUACCAACUCCUAAAGUUCAAUUUGUGGGGGAGGCGAUAGGAACUUUUUUAGCCUGCCCUAGAGCAUUGGUUAUCACACACAUUGGUACACAACAGGUAUAAUAUUGUUAUCUUCACUAAUUUUAUAUUAUCAAUUAAAAAUAUUUGUUCAUAACUUUGAAAAUUUUAUGUUCAGUUCACAGUCCUCAAAAGCAAUCGAUGCAUGACGCACCAAUACCUGAAUAUGAUGAUGCUGAUGAUGGUGAUGACACGGCUGAAGCAGAAGAUAAUCCCAUAGCAAAGCUACUGUCAAACAUUCCCAAGUUCAACAAAGGAUCAAUACAAAUAUACUGGGAAUUACGAGUAUUUGGUCUUCCCCCCAUAUGCCAGUAUAUAUCACAUUCAAUGAUGUAUCGGAGACCAUCCAGGGAGACAAGGAGUUGAAUAUUUCCAUUCUUCAACUCUGGUGCAUGUAAGACAGUUAAUUUUGUCAACCAUAAUAGUUUAAGUUAGAUGCCUACUUUGUAACAAGUUAACUUUGUUGUUAUAGGUACAUGGACACAGUCAUUGUAGACCAAGGUCGGUCUUCCAUUUACGGAUUUGUUGAACCUCAAACCAUUCAACGUUGUGGUAACACAACUCAAAUCAAACAAGAUUACUUGCAAACAUGGAUGGCUGAGUCAAACAGAGACAUAUACCUUGUGCCAUACAUUGAUGGGUAUGUGUUGUUUUAUGUAAAAGGUAAUUAAAUGUUUCCUUAAUUAGUUUACUAACUAUUUAUGAUGUUCCAAACAGGGCUCACUGGCAGCUGGUGGUCCUCAUUCCCAAACAAAGUACAGUUGUCUUCUUCUGUUCGCUGCAAAGGAAGAUGAAAAAUGACUUGAAAACCAUGCUUCAAGGGUAAGUGUAUCACUAAAAAUGACUUUUAAAUUCAUGUAGGCCUUAAUUUUUUAUGAUUUCAUACUUAUAUUCAUAUUACUUUCUAUUUUAAUGUAAAUAGAGUAAUGGGUAAAUCUCGAGGUCAGCUAAAUCAAGUCUUGUAUCCCAAGGUUUGGUUGGUGCAUUUAUAGUUUUAAUUCAUUUAUUUUCGUUAUUCAAUGAUCUUAAUUCUUGACUAUAUUUAGUUUGUCAUUUUAGUGUAACAGACAGCUAGAUUCAUGGGAAUGUGGGUACUAUGUGAUGUCUUGGAUUAAGACCAUCAUUCGAGCUGGCAUUACACAUAGUUGGAAUGAGGUAAUAAUCAGUCUUACUUUGAAAACAUCAAAAAUCAAUUAAUUCUUUUGAACAUAUAUCAAACCAUAAUCAAUAUUUCUUAAUUGUGNAGCGCUUCAACAAUAUAUNUGNUUUACCCGAAGACACGAUAAAGCAGCUAAGGCACGAGUGGGCAACUUAUCUUCUCCAAAAGUGGAACUAGAGCAAGACUUAUUUUUGUUGUUUUCAACUACAUAGGUUUAGUUUAAGUUUAUAAUUUCAUUUUUUUUAUCUGUGAUUGAAUUAUAUCUAUUUAUAGCUCAAACAAACAAUUCUUUAUUAUAAACAAUUGUUCUGGGAAAUUUUUCUGAAUUUCAGGUGUGGUUAUAUUCGAAAAAUAAAAUUUUUAUUAAAAAAAAAUACCCAGUAGACGUCGGUUCAUGCAAAAAGCGACGUCCAAUAAGUAACAGUGGACAAAAAAAUCCAGCGUGCACAGACGUCAUUUUUGUUGACCAUUGACGUCUUAACAUCUAUUGUGGCUACGCCUGACGUCUAUGUAAACGUCGUAUUUGUACAUAGCCGACGUCUGUCAUUACCAGACUGAUGUAAAGUUAAUGUCACUGAAAUAUACGUCGAUUCCGUAAGUGACGUCAAAAGCCCAAAAUAACCGAUGUUAAACAGCUUUUUUCCACUAGUGUGCAUGGAUGAAGAACGAACAUUGGUUUAUGAUGAGUUUUUGGAUACCGUUCAUUGCAUGCAUCACACUUUUCAACGAUUUUUUUCAUUUAUAUAUUCCUUUUUAAAAUGUUAUGAUAAAAAAAUUUAAACAUCAUUUAAUAAUCAUUUAACAAUUUAUAUAAUAUAAAAGAGUCAUUAAAAUAUAAUUUUUUAUUUAUAAAAAAUACUAAGAUAUCAUGUAAAAAAGUUUUGAAUAUCAAAAUAACAAUAUCUAAAUUAAAAAAUAUGAUUACUCCUAAAAUUUAAAUACUCAAUUCAUACACAAUUUAAGUGUGAAAAAUUUUCUGUAGAAUUUUAAUUUAUUUAACAAUACAGUAAGAAUACAAUAAGGUGAGGUGCUGCACACACUAUACAUAUUUCCAAUGUGAAAGAAAAAAUUUACAUUUGUGCUUAUUUUUAUUCUCAUUAAGAACGAAAUUUUGUAUUUCAUCCAUUUUUAUGUUAUCAUUACAUAUUUACUCUUAUAUAUUUAAAUAGUAAUUUAAUAAUUUUUAAUUAUAAAUUAUAAAUUAUAUAAAAUUCUCAUAAACUUAUUUCUUGAAAUUUUAAAUAUAGCUGAUCUUGUUGAGUGACUAUGGAUAGAUCUGAAUGAGAGACCUUAUGCCCAAAACGGGAGUUAUAUCGUAGUUAUUGAAACCAGCAGAGGAAAACAGCUUAACCCACUCUUUUUUGUUUCUCUCUUUUCCGUGGACCAUCACCAUCAACAUAUCAAAGAAGAGUUGUGUUUCAACAUAUUCUUCAUCUUUCACUUCAUUAUCCAUCACAAUGUCUAUGAUUAUCACCUUCCCUUUUUUCCCUUUCUUAGAUAUAGCUUCCUUGCAUUUCUUCAAUAUUCUCACACACUCCUCAUCGUUCCAGUCAUGUAAUAUGCACUGUUUUCUCAUACAAAAAGUAGAAGGAAUUCAGCUUAUUAGAAUAAGCAUCUCAAGUAAUAUAAUUAAUAUAGUAGGGCCACUUAUUAUAAGUCAGAUGACCAAGUUGAAUCUGCAAACCUAACAUUAACUAAAUUAGUUAUGUUUAUUAAUUAGAAAAAGACUCAUCCAAAGAAAGAAAGAAAGCCAAAAAAGUGUUACUAAUAAGUUAUUUGAGGAGACAAGAGAAUAAAAAUGAGGAGCAAUAUUACUAUAUAUAAUUUGCUAUAUUUUUCCAUGUUCAUAUAUGAUUCUGAAACAAUUGCUAUUCGAUAUUUAAUUUGAAGAAAUAGUUAGAAUACACUAGUGCUAGCUUACCGAUAAUCAUUAUAUAUGUUGAUUAUUUCGUUUGAUCAACAAUGGUGAUAUUGUUCUUUCUUUCCCAAUUGAUCAAUACAUUGGCUCAAUUUUCUGAAGUUUAACAUCAAGUAAAUUGAAAGAAAAGUUAAGAAUGUAACAGUGUACUAUGAUUUGUAACGAUAUUUUACCUUCAACAAAAUGGCAUUUGUUGGAGGAAUCUCCUCAAACAUGUCCCCUCCAACAUAUUUAAGGUUGUCACUUCCUUGCAAGCCAGAAACAACAUGUGGAAGAUCAAAUACGAUGCAUUCCAAUUGAGGGAAGGAUUCGGCAAUGGCCUUUCCCAUGGUUCCUGUACCUUCCCCAACAUCAACCAAUGACUCCAAUCCCAUAAACACCCCUUUGCAUUUCUCAAUCACUGAACUAGUGAUUAGUUUAGCAUCACUUGCCAUAGCAUCAUUGAAUAAGAUGUUAAUUCUGGGAUCACUGCCAGCAUACUCCCAAAACAAUUUCCCAUGUGCCAUUUCAAAGGGUGUAGUAAUACCAUUUUUGAACCAACUAGAAAACUGAUUCCAUGGAUUUGUUAAAACUGGAUCAAGCAUGGCCUGCAGGAAAGGUGCCAUACUCAUUUCAUGGCUCUUAAGCAGAAGGAAAGAGGCAUCAGUGAGUGCAUACUUGACUUCAAGGUCGUUGUCGGUGUGAUUGAGUUGAGAGAAGAAGCCAGAAUGGACCAUGAUUCGCAUCAAGCGAGGGAUGAAAUGAGUUUUGGAAGAAUGAAUUGGAAGUGAAGCAAUGAGGUUUGAGAGUGAGAUGGGUUGGCCAUGGUUGUGUAUGAUGUCUGCUAUGCCUAACUCAACAACACACUUAAGGGACAUGGAAUUUAUGAAGUUAAAAAUAUGAUUCCAUAUGUGUGUUUGAGCCCUCAGUAGUUUCGCGUCAUGGGAUUCCAUAAUUUCUUGCAUAAACUACUUGUUCAAUUUGGAGUAUGGAACCUCACACGAUUUGGGUCUAUUUAUAUGCAACCGAAUAUCCAAGCGGCCACUUUAUUAUAAUUCAUAGUAUAUGACGGUAGAUUAUUAUGCCUCCAUACUAAUAUAAUUCAAUAUAUUAUUUGUGUUGGUUCUACCUCCAUACUAAUCAUCUCAAUGUUAACUUAUGGGUCUCACAAUUUAUAAUUUGUAGGAAUUCUAUUUCAUUUGAAUCUUUGUGCCGAAAAAGAUAAAGUUAUAAUACCCUGCAUUGUUGCGUUAAAUAUUAUUAUAACAAAUAAUAUUAAAAAGAAAAAUAUGAGAAAUAUAUAACAAAUAAAAUAAGAAUAAGAACUGUACCGAAAGAAAAUUAAGAUUUGAUUGAACUAUUAUUAACUUAACAAAAAGUAUAAAGAUUUAUCUCAACUAUUAUAAAUAAAAGUGUAAGAAAGAUUUCAUAAAAUAAUAGAGAAUCUCAAACAAAACUCAUCCGACUUGUAUCAGAACGUGUCCGGUCUACAAAAGAGCCUGACCUGCCUUCCGUAUAGCCCGUUUGAUCUUCGUUACUACUCUUCUACCAGCACCAACCUCCAGCCCGUCCAAGAACCUCAUAAAAAAAAUGAUAAACACAAUUAUAUAUUAAUAUUACGUGUUAUUUGUGUCAGAUUUUCAUCAUUUAGGUUCCUUAAAAGCUUUAUUAAUUGUAUUAGAACGAUUAUAUAUAGAGACAAAGUGGUGAUUGUGUUGAUGGUGUCAACUUGUAUACUUUUGCAACGCUUUCCUUCUUAAAAUAAUAUAAAAGAUCUUGCUUGAUGAUGAUGACAUAUAUGUUUUAUUUAUCUCAAUUGGGUACGGUUAUAAUUAACUCAAUAAAAAAAAAUCUCAAGUUGUAUCUUAAAUGCAUGGUUUUUUUAAAAAGCUGAUCAAAUAUAAGCCAAAUAUUACGAGAAUAGGAAACAAAUUUUGCAAUUACGAUAAUAGGCAAGUUGUGGGAGUUCAGAUGACUUCAAAUGAAGAAGUCGUGCCUCCUCUGCAUGACUUCAUCCUAUAGCUUUGAUUAGGGGUGAAGUCGUGCAUCCAAAAACGACUUUUGGUCUUUGUAAUCUAUUACCAAGCAUUGUAAUCGAUUACAACAGGUUGAAGUCGUGUCCCCCUACAUGACUUCACCUUUGGUAAGAAAAAAUAACUCUGGUAAUCGAUUAUAACCAUGAUGUAAUUGUUUAGUUUUAUGUGUAAAACGCUCUGGUAGUCGAUCACAGCAUACUUGUAAUUGAUUACCAAAGAGUUUUAUGUGUAUAAAUGCUCUGGUAAUCGAUUACAACAGAGCCAUUUUCAUCUUAAUUGUGUAAAAACUUUUGGUUCUUUUAAGUUAAUUUUUGUCUAGUUAUUUUAAUUCUUGUAAAGACAUGGUUGUUGAAGAAAUUGACAUGUAUUAUUAUGUUUAGGAUGAGUAAUUUUUUGAAUUUAAAUACAAAUGGAAAGCAUAGAAGAAAGUCAAAACUGAAACUUCAACUAUUUUAUUGAAUUGAAAAUGCAUUACAUAAGGAAAAGCUAAAGAUAAAAUAAGAAGAAAAUACAAUGAAAUUGAAAUCUAUAUAUGAAGAAGAUCUGCCAUGUGAACCAAAAUGACGACGCAGAUACUACAUGUCCUACUCUAGAUGUUCGACUCGAGCAUCAAUUGUAUCAAAGCAGUCACCCAUGUUUAGCUCCAGUUGCUCAAAUCUAGCAUUUAUACUAUCAUUCAUAGUAUUGAAGUUGUCUCGAACAAAUGUUCAGAGAUCAUUGAUCCCCUUCAUGACGUCAUCAAAUGAAGAAGUUUGUUGGUGAAGAAGGGGUUAUGGUUGUUGUUGAGGAUUUUCUUCACGAUGGCGUGGAUGAGGAGGAGGAGCAUUUUUGUGAACCCAUUCACCGUCACGGUUUUUUUUAAAUGCAAAGCACUUUAUCACUUGUGCCUCUAUUCUCAUCUUCCUGUUUUCUGGGGCGGGCAUUUCAUCAUCCAAUGGAAUUCUAAAAUGUUGCAGGAUCCAGGUGACCAAAUAUGGAUAGAGUAAAGGAGCCCCUGCCCUGAAAGCCUUCUUCAUCCUAUAUCUGAUGAGAUGGCUCCAGUUUAUCUGUUUUGCCAUCAUUAUAAUCCACAUUAAAAGUAUAUCUUCUUUGGUAGCCUGUGCAAAGUUAGAAACAAGUGGAAACAAAAUACGAUAUAUAACAUAGUGUAAUAUUCUAGCCUCAACUGUCACAGAGUCGGCUAUAAUUAUACCAAUACGGGGUUUGUCUGGCAAACAAAUCAAGUCUCUUGCUACGUCAAUCCUGUAUUCAUCCUCCCAAUUGUCAAAUAAUUUACCUUCAAAAUUCAAGCCACCAGAUGACAGGUUGGCUAUGGUAGCUAAUAGACUGGGUUUAAUAAUCAUUUUAACAUUUUUUACCUCAAUCCUAAUUGUUCCACUAUCAAAAAUUUUCAUGUUGCUAUAAAACACAGGUACUAAAUCAGGGUAGUAGUGUGCACAAUCACAUGACAAAAUCACCUAAACCCAAAUUUAUCAGCAUGUGGAAAAAUAUAAAAGUUUCAUCGUUAAAAUAAUCUUCAUCAAGCAAUUUUGGUUUAAUAAUGUGACGGUCAGAGAAGAGUGAGUAAUACCUUUCUGGCUCUGCAGAACUUGAAAACAAAAGAUUUGGGCGUUGUUGAGUCGGUGAUAGUGGUGGUGAGGGUAAGGGUGAGCUUUCAUCUGGUGAAGGUUGACAGUGGCGACGUCCCGCACCUGAAGAAGAGGAGCCCCUAACCCUUUGCCUCUUUGAAGAUUCCGCUAUUUUAGAUUCCAAUUGGUGCAAAUUGAAGAGAAUUGAAAAAGGGGAAAAGAAAAUGUUUAAUAGAAGUGAAAGGAGUAGAAGAAGAGGUGAUUUUGAAGCUUUGGAAGGUGCUGCAAUGGAGGAGUUUCGUUGUUCUUCGUUUAGGAAGGGUGGGUGUGCAUGAGGAGAGAGAAAAAGUUGAAUUUAUAGGGGUAGGGUUUCGCUGUAACCGAUUACAGGGUUUCUGUAAUCGAUUACCAUUGGCUCUGGUAAUCGAUUACAAAAACAAUGUAAUCGAUUACCAGAUCCUCUAGUAAUUUAUUACAGAAACCUUGUAAUCGAUUACUAGAAAGUUUUUGGUUAAAAAUACGUUUGUUUGUUAUUUUUGUUUUAGUUUAAAUUAUUGUACAAAUAUAUAAUUAGAGAACUUUAUUUAAAACUUAUAAAUUAUUACGAAACAUUAAAAAAUAAUAUUACAAUCAUCCGACUUAAAGUCUUAAAGAGUCUUAAACAAUUUUAAACAAUAUAAAGAGUGUUAAACAUUAUAAAUUAUGACCAAAAUUAAUAUAUGAAUCUUCUUCUUCUUUCUCCGUGUUCGUCUAUGUAAGUCCAAUCUUUGAGAUCCUCGUAGUGUUCAGCUUGAGUUAGAGGACGAAUAUCUCUUGUUUAGAUGAAAAGUUUAAUAUAUUGAGAAGUGUGUGGACGUAACACCGAUCUGUCAAUAGUUUAUGAUUUUUGCCAUUGUCCAAUCAUCUGUGCAAUAUCGUUAUCACAUUUUAUUGAAGUAGGUUUUCACAAAAGAGAAGAGUUCUCAGGGUUUUAGCAAGAUCAUAGUAGUUUUGAAGAGAGUAUCCUCUCUAGUAAAUAGAUGAGCAAGGAAGUACGGAAUCAGAGUAGUUGCGAAUGAUGAUGGGCAUGUUCUUAUCAAAAAGUGGUGUGUAUGAAGAACUUUCUUAAUCAUGGGUUGGUGGUUUGUGAGGGAUGAGUUUCUUUAAAAUAGUAUUGGUUUUGUUAUAUGAGAAUGAGUUGGGAGUGUUUGGUGAUCUUCAAGAGUCAUAAGUGAGUUUAGGUAUGGAAGAAAUAUGUUUGAGGCAGAGAAGACAAGUGGGACUACAGUUUCAAGAUGCAGUGUCAUCCUUGAAGUAAGAAGGUAUAAAUUGACGUUGAGCAUGGGAACCGUGUCAGUGGAUAAAGGAAAUGAACUGGGAUAAGAUUUCAAGUUGUAGCUUCAAUCUUGAGGUUGGCAAACGUUAGUUGUGGUUGAAAGCUGAAAGAAGAUUCAUUUUUUUUUAGUUUGGUAAGGAUUGAGUGAGAGUUGGUUGAAGAUUAUGAAGAUUGGGGUCUAACGUGAAGUUAUAAAGAUAUUUCAGUAGUAUAGUGAAAACACUAUAACUAGUGGGUUUCUCAAAAUGGUUGAGAAAGGGUAGUUGGGACAAUCAUAGUUUGAGAUGUAUCAUAAGAUGGUUAGGUAUUGAUCAAGCUAGUGAUUCCGAGUAAUGAAGGAUGCAUAUUUGUGCAUGUUCACGAACUAGUAGGUCGAGAAAGGCAAAUGAUUCAGGUUGGCAAGUUAAAGAAAUGAAGAUGGAGAGUUCAAUUUGGUUUUGUCGCUGCAACGAAUGAGAAAGUUCUACUUUGGUUGGAGAACAUAGUUGGAAACUAUGUUAUUCAAGUGUAGAGAUUAGUAAAGCAAUGUAAAAUCCUCAAAAUGAGUGUGUUUAAAAGUGAUCAAGAGUUAUUAUAGUUUGUAGUAACUCGGUAAAUCAGAAGAUUGGGGUCUGAGGUGAAGUUGUAAAGAGAUUUCAGUAGUAUAGUGAAAGCACUAUAAUUAGUGGGUUUCUCAAAAUGGUUGAGAAAGAGUAGUUGGGACAAUCCUAGUUUGAGAUGUAUCAUAAGAUGGUUAGGUAUUGAUCAAGCUAGUGAUUUCGAGUAGUGAAAGAUGCUUAUAUGUGCAUGUUCACGAGCUAGUAGGUCGAGAAAGGUAAAUGAUUCAGGUUGGCAAGUUAAAGAAGUGAAGAUGGAGAGUUCCAUUUGGUUUUGUCGCUACAACGGAUGAGAGAGUUCUACUUUGGUAGUUGGAGAACAUAGUUGGAAACUAUGUUAUUCAAGUGUAGAGAUCAGUAAAGCAAUGUGAAGUCCUCAAAAAGAGUGUGUUUAAAAGUGAUCAAGAGUUAUUAACAGUUUGCAGUAAAUCAGAAGUUGUAAGGAUCAAGUCAGUGGAAUGAUGUUUCUUAAAGGGACCAAUAGAAAGUCAAGAGAUAUCAAUCAGGGGUUGGUAUGAAGUCAAGGAUAGCGAAAGCUUUAGAAGAGGUUCACAAAAAGGCAGUGAAAGUCAGAUGAAGGGUUGGUAGUGUGGCAGAUGCAGUAUGGUUGGUUAUGUGAAAGAAAGAUUCGUAAGAGUUGAAGUUAAAGGUUGAGAUUUGGUGUUGAGGGUAGUGCUUAGACCAAUCUACACUAUUGAACACUAGAGCAUUUUAUCAUAGAGACAAGGUUAUCUUAGUAAAGUUGUUGGGGAGUAGUAUAUUUGUCAAAUAAAUGGUUGUGAAAGAGAAUGGGGAGAGAAUAUCUUCUGUCUAUCUAAUGAGUGAAUUUUUUAGGACGAAAAUUUUUCUUGUUGGGGAGAAUGUAAAACCCCAUAAAAUGGUAUUUUAGAAAUGGUGGUAGUCUAAAAAUAGUUAGACUCGGUUAUUUUAAUAUUAAAGAGUUUUGUUAUAAAUAGUUAUGUUAUAAACGAGUUUCAUUAUUUUAAAACAUGACAUCUCUCUAGAAAUCACUAUUCUAGAGUUCUCUACAUUAUCUCUAAGAGUUAUAACUCCUGAGUCAUCUGUUUGACAAUCAGGAGGUGCCUAGACAAUCACGACGUUAAGGUUUACAAACCUAACCGAUCAAUUUAUAUUUUAGAGCAAGUAAGUUUUUACUCACUUUUACCUUUUUCGCUUCAGUCUAUGAUCAUGCAUGGAACCUGUUUUGCAUGUAUCAUUUAUCUCUCUUUUCUUGUUCUUGGUGGAUUUAGAGUUCUAAGGACUUUGUCUGUUUCCAAUUUGGUGUCUCGUAGGUUUGUCUAGAGAUUUCUUGUGUUUCAAGCGAUCAGUUGAACGUUUCUUUGAUUUGAGUGGUUAUUUGAGGUAAGGGAAGCUAGACCUUGUCUUAAUUUGUGUUUGUGUUAUAAAUUUCGGUAUCUUUAUAAAUUAAAGACAAUUUUGAGAAAUUGGUAUGAUUGUGUGUGCUAUGUAUGUCUCAUGGAUGAUUUUUAAUAGUAUGAUGUUGUGUAUAUUUGGUAUGGUGUGAUUGUGAUGCUUGAUAAUGUCAUGAUUGAAUGUGAUAAUGAUGUUUUAGUGUUGGAAACUAAAUUCGGUGUAGUGGUGAGGUAAAAGGGUUAAAUUCUUGAGUUUUAAGAGUGAGAAGGUAAUUGAUUUAGCAAUUUUUGUGGUUAAUUGGGACUUGUUAAAAGUGUUAGAUGAUUGAAAAUUGAUAUGCAACAAAGAGGGGGAUUCAUAGUUGAAACUUUCAAGUGUUUUUGGUGUAAAAAGAGGGUUUUGAGUAGUAAGAUUUUGAAAUAAGUGGUGUAAACUGUUUUGGAGAGUUUGAAGCAUAUUUUGAGACCAAUUAGGACUUGUCUAGAGGUUCAUAUCAGAAAAAUUUGUCAUAGAAGUGUUAAUUAAUUGCUUCAUAGGAUGAGUUUCUAGUCCAUUUUGGGCGCCUUUUUGCGAGAGGAGCUCCUCUGAGCGCCCUUGGGCGCCCCCUAAGCGCCCUAUUCCAGAGGUUUGGCAUCUAGGCGUCCCUUUUGGGGCGCUGAGUGCCAUUCAGCAAUUUUGGUUUUUUUUUCAGUUUUCAAGAUAUCAAAUUUGGGGUUUCGAGUAUCAGUUUUGGACGUUCUUUAGGUCGUUUUUGGAGGUUUUGGACCCUUUCAGAGAUGUUGGGGAGGGUUUAGAGUUGUUUUCCUUACCUAAAUAUGAGUAUCAAUAUGCCAUGAAGAAAUUGUGUUAUUAUGUGACUUCUGAUUACAUGUAAGGGUAUUUCUAGUUGUUUAAUGUAUAAUCAAAGGUUUCAUGUGAUAGUAUGCAAUGUUUGUGUGAAGUAUAUGUAUGUGCAUAUAUGAUUAUGAAAGGAACAUGAUGAUGAUGAAUAUGUGGUUGAUUAAGUAAAUGGUUGAUGGACGUAAUUCCAUGAUUCUCAUGGAGAGGAUACAUGGUGGUGCCCUACGUUGUUGUUGUGAAUGUAUGGAGCUUUGUAUCGGGAGUUUAUCCUGACGCUCUCAAUAACCCUAACUCAAGUAGAGGUGAUUGGUUAUGUCGUGGAGAGUAGCAAGGAGUCCAGUCUAGGGGGUUUACCUUGGCCAAAGACAUUUUCAAACUAACCUUGUAUGGUAGCUUGGGGUGGGCCAAUUGUAUUACCAUUACAAGUGCAUAAACUACCCUAGUUCGACAUUCAUACUAUAUCCGGAUGAGUUAGUCUAAUGUUGUGAUAUGAUUAUGAUGUAUGUUUAUUAUGUGUGUAAUAUAAAGUAGUGAUGGAAUGUUUAUUGUAUUAUGAUGAACUCUUUUAUCACUAGCUUACCCUUCCUUUUGUGUUGUUUGUUGUGUGUUGUUUUCUCUUUGCCAUGAUCACCUUAAUGGUGUGAGUUUAGAGAUACAAUCUUUUCAGUUGUUCCUAUAAGAGGUGAGGGUGAAGAAGUUGAGAAGUCGAAUGAUUCUACAAGUGUGGAUCUUGUCAUUCAUAGGUUUGUUUUAUUAUAAUUGUUCUAUUAUCUUAUAUGUAAUAUUUCUUUUUAGUAGCAUUUUACCAUUAAAAAUGGGAUGUUAUAGUGAUUAGUUUAAAAAUUAUUUUAAUUAUCAAUAAUUUUUUAAUAUAUAUUUGUGAAUAUUAUCAUAAAAUAUUAUAAAUUUUUUUAAUGAUAUCACGGUAUAUCUGUAAUACUUUAAUAUCACGAAUGCGUGAAUGUACAGUGGAACUUAAAUCAUAUUUUAAUUCAAAGUCUAUUUAAUUUUAAAUGAGAAUAUUUUAGUGUAUUGAUAAUUAUGAUAAAACGUGUUUAAUUUAUAGAAUGAAAGAUUCUCAAAAUACUUAACGGAUCACUACAAAAUAAUUUCCUAUACAUUUCUUACAGCUACUUCGAAACAAUUUUUAAAACGUGAUCAGGUUUAUUCCAGGUUUGUUUGAGUUAUCAGAGGAUUAAGAUGUAACAAAAGUCAAAUUUAUAUUAAUAGGUCCAAAUCAAACAUGACCUUAAAGAAGCACAUUUAACUUUAAGUGACUUUUCUAUAUUUAUAAGGAGUUAUCAUAUUUUUUUUUUACCGUUAUAAAGUAGAAAGAAGUUGUUAUUUAAUAUUUAAAAUCCGUCUUCUAAAUAUAAUGUAAUUGUUAGUGGAUACUAGGAAGAUUUUAUUACUUUAAGAUUUUACUUCAUGUAUGCUAUUAAGAUUUUAUAGCCCGAAAGCAUCUUUAUCCAAAAAAAAAAAAUUGUUAUACUUUGUCUGUUUCUCUAAUAAUUUAAAAAGAAAAUAAUAAGAUGACAUACACUACUACAGAAUUGGCUUUUAACGUUACCCACUAAACAUAUGUUAUAGGUGUUUGCAACGUAAAAUAUUGAUCGGUGGAAAUUUCGUAAAUAAGUUAGACCUAUAGACGUCUGUUACAGUAGGGUCCGACGUCUAUAAUAUUAUAGACGUCGAGACCCCUAGUAACUGACGUCUAUAUGUGUGACAAGUAAGUGAAAAGUCAUUUAUUUCCGCCAUGUAAACGUCAGUGCCCCUCCGGUUGACGCCUAUAGUAUGACAAAUAGGUGAAAAGUUAUUUUUUCUGUCAUCUACAUGUCUGAUCCCGCCACUUGACGUCUAUAUUCGAUUAUAGACGUCAGUAUCUCUCCCGACUGACGUCUAUAUGUCUGAGAGGUAUGUCAAAAUUCAUUUCUUGAUACAUUACUUAUACAUAUAAUAAAGAUAAAAUAAUCAUAAAAAAUAAAUUAGUAAUUGGUUAGUUUUACGAGAUUUGAAAGCCAGGUUCUUUCAUCUAAUAACAAAUUGGAGGAGGACAAAAAAAAACUCGAUUAGAUUAAAGGCUUAAUACCGCUUUUGGUCCCUAGUUCUGGAAGUUUUGUUCAAUAUGAUCCUACCUUUUUUUUAGUAACAAUUGAUCCCACUUUUUGAAAAAACUGUUCAAUUGACUCCUUUUUUGUUACGACGUCAAUUUUCUAAUGGUGUUGGUUACGACGUCAAUAAGUUCUUUCAUGUAUUCACCUAUCCAAAUGUUAUUUUAACAGUCCUGACAUAAUGUUAUGUUAAAAAUCAUGUCAUCAUCGUAUACAAUAAGGACUAUAAUAAACAAUUUAAACUUGAAUAUGGAACCACUAUGAACAAAAAGGACUCAGUUGAACGGUUUUUUCAAAAGGUAGGAUCAAUUGUUAUGGAAAAAAAGAAGGUACGACCAUAUUGAACAAACCCUCCCAAACUAUGGACCAAAAGCGGUAUUAAACCUAGAUUAAAAGACUGAAAAUACAGAGAGAAUGGUGUGAGAAACCUAUAACAGUAGGUUAAGGCAUUUUUUGAGGAAAGAUUUAGAGAGACAACAGAGUUUAAGAUAAAGCUGGAAAUUAUAGAGUUUAAAAGACUGAAAAUACAGAGAGAAUGGUGUGAGAAACCUAUAACAGUAGGUUAAGGCAUUUUUUUGAGGAAAGAUAAAGCUGGAAAUUAGAGUUUAAAUCUAUAUCAAUUAGAGGAUAAUAGGAUGUUAACAAGUGCAUUAUCUGAAAAUGAAAUUAGGAAGGUAUAGGACUCUGAGAGUUGCAAAAAUCUAUAUGUGGAUGGGUUUAAUUUCAAUUUCAUUAACAAGUGUUGGGAAACUUAGUACAAGCAAUUUAUGAUUUUCCUUACACUUUUGGUUUUGGUGGUUAUCAAUUUGGGACUCUACUUUUGAUAAGCAUUCGGUGGCUUAAUUAAGUUACUUUUUCACUUUAGGGCUUUCAUUUUGUCGACGAUCUUUUUUCAGUUUGGGGUUUAAUGUAAUUAUCUGUAAACCUUUAUUCCUUUCACUUAUCCAUUUCUUGAUAUAUUAUUUGUUAGAAUUCCUUAUUUUACUAAUUGUACUUAUUUCAAAGUCAAUAAAUGUAUCGUAAUUAUUAAUAGUUGGUUAUAUUAUUUAUUAAAAUAUUGUGUUUUGUUUUACUUCUUUUAUUAGUAAUAAAGAUAAUAAAAUUGUCUCAAUCCAUGUUAAAAAAAAAGGAAAGAAAAAAUAUGUCUCAUAAUGCGAUUUUCUAUAUCUAAGCAAGAAACUCAUUCAAGCAAAUACUAAUUUAAGAAGUAUAUGUCACUUUACUGACCUAUCAUACAUUCUACUCUUUUCAAAAAAGUCAGAAGAAAUUAAAUUUCUUUGAUGAAAUUUCAAUUUAUGAAAGGUCUAAGAGAGACUGUCAUUAUAUAUAAUUUUCUAAAAUAUCAAACAAGUUACUUCACUAUUUGUGUUUUUCUAUAUUCAACAUUAUAUUAGCAAACAAAGUCUUCAACAGUAUCAUUGAAAAAAAUGAUUUUAACAUUAUUAUGUUGAAAUCAGAAACAACAUUAUUGUACGAAUUGGUAAGGCUUUAAAGAAGUGGAAAAUGAGGCUCUUUUGUGAGGACAAUAACAAUUUUUCAUUAAACAUAGAAUAUAGUUCUAUUUUGGAAGUAACAUAUAUCUUGCACUUCACAACUUUGAUCUUGUAAAGAAACUUUAAUUCACUUUCAUUACCUAAUUCGAUGUAAAUGGUUUAAAUGACGUUAGAUAUAUAUAAACUAAGCAAUUUAUUCCUUACAAUGUGUCCAUUUAUUCCUUUUUUCAAAAUAAUGCUUUUUUAGAUAAAUAUUUUUUAGAUAGAUUCACUAAAACAUUUUUUUUUUCAAGUAGACUCGUUAAUAUAUUUUUUUUUAAAUGGGAAGGAAAAAAAUAAAAUUAAAUUAUGGCAAAGUAAUUUAAAAUAAUUAACUAAAAGUAUUGAGUUUGAAGUUUACCUUUUUUUUUAUAGAAGAAAUAAAAUAAAAGAAUUUACAAUUUUUUUAAUAUAGUUUAUAAUUAAAUUUGUUAUUAUUGAUUUUUGAAAAAAUAAAUUAUACUAGAAAAUAUUCAUGAAAAGUAAUAUUAUAAUAUUAACAACAAUGACAGUAAUGUUUUAAAAUUUUAAAAAUCUUUUAUUUCUUAUUCAUAUUUUUCAAUUAAUAAUUAUAAUAAUAAUAAUAAUAAUAAUAAAUUUUGUUCAAAAUUAUAUUAUAAAAUUAAUAUUACAAAAAUAAAAUUUAUUCAUCCUCAAAUUAUAUUUUAGUUUUCUUUAAUUAAAGUUUAAUUUCAAAAUUUCUAAUUAACUAUUUUAAAUUAUUUUUCUCUAUUUUAAUUUUAAUCUUUACUUUUUUAAUUUAUUUUCUUUUAAAAUAAAAUCCUUCCGAAAUUUGAUCCCGGGAGAGUCAAAUUCUAAAUGCAUUUUCUAACAUCGAACAUAAAAAACAGUUGAGAAUUGCAAUCAGUUCAUUUGGAUAAAUAAUGUUAUGCAUUUGAAGAACGUUUGAAAUUAAAAAAAAAAAAAGAAGACACUAUUAAAAAUAAAAAAAAAAGAUAUCAAUCUUAUAAUGUGAUUUAGAAUAAAAUUUAUUAUAAUAAUAGUUUGUAAAAACAUAAAUUAAAACUAAAACACAACUUUAAAUUUUACAGCAUUGUUAUCAUUGUUGCUAUUAUUAACUAUAACUAUAAAAAAUCCAUAUUUAUUUUACAAAUUUAUAUUUUAAAUAAUUUAUUUAAAGUAAAAUAAUUAUUUUAUUAAUUUAACCACCUUAAAUUUAACUGAUUUUUUUACUUGACCGCUUUUUCUAAAUUUAAUCAUUUUUUAGUUAUAAAACUACCUAUAAAAUAAAUAAAAUCUAAUAACAAAAUUAUAAAAAUUAUUUAUAUUUGAUUUCCAAAUUAUAACAAUAAUAAUAAUAAUAAGAAUAAUAAUAAUAAUUUUAUUAUUUUUUAUUAAUUCAAAAAGGGAAACACAUAUGUGUAGCUUCUUAGAUCAUAAAUACUUUCUAAAAUAAUAACUUAAAAAAAACAAUAAUAACAAAUUUAAUUUUAAAUUAUAUUAAAAAGUUCAAAAAUUAUUUUUAUUUUAUUAUUUUAUCUAAAGUAAUUAAAAUGUAAGCAAAAUAUUUUUAAUUUAUUAUUUUAUAAUAUUGUCCAUAAUUUUAAUAUUUAUUUCUAAUUUGUACUUUUUUUCGUUUUUUCUUCAAUUUAAAAAAUACGAAAAAAAUAAAAAUAGAUCCAUUUCAAGAAAUAAUAUUUCAUUAGGUUUAUUUUAUAAAAUAAUAUUUCAAAAGUCUAUUUAAGAAAUUUUUUAUAAAAAUUAUUAUUUAACAAAGAAAAUCUCAAUUUAGCCAACAUUAGGUAUAAUUAAAUUAUAUAAUUUAUCUGUUAUAGUGUCCGUUUUCUAAUAAUUAAUUUUUUGUUAACAUCUGAUUAAGUAUUCUGUAACUGAUUUGUUUUUAUUUAUAAAAAUUAAUUGUUAUGUUAAAAAUAUUUCAAUUAUCAUUUUCAUAAGUGUGAAAAUAAUUUGAGACAGAAUAUAGAAAGCAAUACAUUUCAAAAUAAUUUGAUCCAUUUGAAUGUAAUUUGUAAGAACAUAGAUAGAUAGGUGCAUUAAAAUAAUGAAAUUGGGUAUUUUAUUAUAAAAUAAUCUUAUAAUAUAAAUUAAAUUUUUUAAGCUCGUUUUAUUAUCUAAAUUAUCUUCUAUCUCUCUAAAACACUAUUAUCUCCAUUUUCUCUCUCUUCUCUUUAACUUUUCUCACUCUUGAAUCAUCUAUUCGAUGAUCAGGAGGUCUCUAGACAAUCCUUGUGUCAAGGGCUACCAAUCUGACCGAUCAAUUGGUCAAAUUGAGCAGGUAAACAGUAAACCUUUUUCUUGGUAUUUAGGGUUCUUGAUUGGGUAAAAUGGUUUUGUUUUGCAUGAAUCAGGAGUCCAUCUUUCUUGAAUCUUAGUUCAUUUAUGGUUCUAAGGUUGGUCUUCAAUCAUUGAUCGGUGAUUUGUAGAUUUUCUAGAGUUUUCUUGCGAUGCAAGCAACUAUUGGGGUGUAAUAGAGCGGUGCAAGUCCUGUUAGGUAAGGAAAGCUAGAGCUUACUUUAUUUUAUGUGACUUGUGUAUAGUUUAAGAAUUUAGAAAUCUUUGACUAGUUGUAUGAGAAUGUCGUCUUAUGAGUAGUGGUAAAGUAUAGCUUGUGUAUUUUGAUUGUAAAUUGUUGAAUGGUGAUUUAAAGUGUUUUGUAUGUUGAUUGGAUUUGUUAUUGGAUGUCUAAUACAUUAGAAAUCUAUAUUAACAUUGGUUGGUUAUGACUAGAUGAUAGUUGUCUUAAUUUCAAGCUAGUUUGGAGGAAGUGGGAUAGUGAAAACUUGAUUUGGGAGUUGAGUGCUUAAUUGGUCAGUUGGGAUAGGUUAGGUAAGUUAUUUAGGACUUGUUAGGGUCCGUAAGUUGCUUAAAAUUGUGCCAAAACUAGUAGAAUGUGCUUUGGGUCCAUAAGUUGAUGAUUUGUAUGUUUUGAAGUUUGAAUUGGUUAGUAAACACCUUAGAAUGAGGUUAGGAAGGUUUAGACACACAAGGUUAAAUUCAAUUGAGUAUAAAACACGAUCUAGGAAGAUUAAAAGUUGGGAAAAUUAUUUGGAAUUGGUAAGUUUGGUGUAGGUUGAGUAAUUCUGGAGUUUUGUGCUGCAGAAUUAUGCAGACUCGUUGAGCGAGUGGAGCCGCUCAGUGAGUAACUGAGAGGUGUGCACACUAACUUUGUGUUCACCUAGUGAUUUAAGUCCUUGAGUGAGAGUUUGGGGUCUGGGAUCACUAGGAGAUUUAUUCUCCUAACGAGCUAUGUCGUUGAGCGAAUGCUUAGAGGGUCUGGACCACUGUUUAGGGGAUUUGCCUAGUGAGUUAUGUCGUUAAGCGAGUGCUUGGAGGGUCUGGACCAAUGUUUGGGGGAUUCGCCUAACGAGCUAGGUCGUUGAGUGAGAGAACUUUGGGGUCGCUUAGCGAGGGAGUUCGUUGAGCGACUGGUUCAAGUUUUUAGUUACUCUUUCUUUCUUGGUCCUUGAUUGAUUUGAAUGAUGUUUAAAUUCUUGAGAAUUGAUAUUUUUUUAUAAUUGAAGCUUGUUUAUUGGACGUAAAUCCAUGACUCAUGGUGAGGUUUCAUGUACUUAGUUGAUGAUGUUGUUGUUGUAUGAAUGUAUGGAGCUUUGAGAUGGUGGUUUAUUCUGACACUCUAAUGAGCAUUCAUUCUCAAGUAGAGAUGAAUUAUUCAUGUGGUAAGAGUAGCGGGAGGUUCUUGUCUACAAGCUUUGAAUCUAGCCCUAGGCAACUGAAAUGAACUAACCUUGUAUGGUGUUGGGUAGUGCCAAUUGUACCAUACAAGUGCACAAACUACCAAUAGUUCGACAUUCAUACCUAAUCUGGAUGAGUCUUAUUAAGUUAUGGGAUGUAUGGAAUGAUUGGUAUGUAUUGUAUCCUCUUGAAUUGAGGGUUUGAUUUGUUUACAUAUUUCUAUAAAUAUGAAAUUUUCUUAUUUAUCUAACUUACCAUUUUGUUUGUUGUUUUGUUUGUAUGUUCUUAUACUAUUUUCUUUGUUAUGAUCAUCUGGUGGGUGUAAGCAAAUGGAGAUGAGAUCUCAAUGGAGCAGGCAUUUGAUGGGGAAGAUCCUGUUAUUUAGUUAGCUUUAGACUAGUUUAAUAUUAAUAUGUGUAUCUGAAUGGUAGAGCUUAGUAUGAAUGAUUGCAUGUUCUAAGACUUGUUUAUAUAAAUGUCUAUAUAUAUUAACAUCUCUAUACAUGUAUGAUUUUCUCUUUUUGGUACAUUAGCUUAUUCUUUCUUUUUUGUCCGUGUCAUCUUUUUGUUUGUAAUAAUUGCUUUAAUGGUGUGAGAAGAUAAAAAUGUUUUAAUUAAUUCAAUGAAAGGUGAUGCAACAACAUAGUUUAGAAUUAGUUUAUGUUCAAGUCUAGGACGGUUACACUAAUUCUGCAUAUCACAUUUCAAAUGACUACAAUAAUGACAAAGGAGGUGGGGAAGCUAUAUUGAGACAUCUGAUGGGAUAGGAAAGUAAAGGAAACAAUUAUUUGGGUGAAAUGAAAAACAGUUUGAACCAAAAAGAUGGAGGAUACAAACAAAGGACAGUAAGAUUUCCAGUGACACUCUUCUAUCUAAAUGGAAAUGGAUGGCCACUAAAAGGACAUGUUUAUGGAAAUAUAUUUUUUUAUUUUAUAUUUUUUGGAUUUCUACAGUAUAAGGCUUAUAUAUUUAUUUUAUUUAAAAUAAUGGGUGUAAAUAGAAAUUUUAGUUAAUGAAACAAGUGGACUUCAGAUAAAGAUUCAACCCGAAAGCCUAAUAUGACCAAGUGGCAACUUCUUUAGUCAACUUCUUCCUGCACCUCCAUACAUUUCUUCUUGUACGUACCUCCAUAUUAUACUCUACUCCAUGAGCGUCCAUCACUCAUUACUUUUUUUAUAUUUUGAUUCUUAGGAGUGAAGUGAUAAAUCCAUUUUUUAUAUUUAUUUUAAAAAUAUCAAGAAGUCUUCAUAAGUAACGUUCAUUUCUUCUUCAUCUAUAUCUCGAUGUUCUACACUUUUUCUAUUUUAAUCUCUUAAUUCAUCUGAUUUCCAUUUUUAAAUUCACAUUUAUCCUUUUAUUCUCGUCAUUCAUGAGUAAAAUUAAGUAAAACUAAUAAGUAGGGUAAUGAAUUUUUUUUUUGGGAAAAGUAUAUAAUUUUAGUUAACUGAUCUAAGCAAAAUUAUUUAAGAUUAUUUUAUCCUUCUCUCUUUCCAACUGAAUUGUUACUGUUACACAUUAAACUUUCAGUGAAAACGCUGACUGAUUACAGCACUUUCAAACUGAUAACAUUUGACAAGGAAUUACUAUGGAUAGAUCUCAAUGAGAUAUCUUAAUCCCAAGACUGGAGUUAUCUUACACUCACUGAAACCAGCAGAGGAAAUCAAUUUCUCCCAUUCCUUCUUGUUUCUCUCUUUUCCAGCGACGAACACCAUCAUUAAAAUAUCAAACAAGAGUUGGGUUUCUACAAAUUCAUCAUCAUAAUCUUUCUUUUCAUCAUCCAUCACCGUCUCUAUGAUUAUCACCUUCCCUUUCUUGCCUUCCUUUCUGAUUGCUUCCUUGCACUUCUUCAGUAUCUUCAUGCAUUCCUCAUCACUCCAGUCAUGCAUUAUCCACUGCUUUCUCAUUCAAACCAACACAUUCAGUAUAUACAAAUAAAAGUUCAAAACUGAAGACAUUUAGAAAGCCAUUUCAAUUACUUAUAAGGUUAAUAAUAAACUAAGAAUAAGGUGAUAUCUUCUUCCAUUCUUUUCCAAUUGAUUUCUUCUUUCUGUGAAACUCUCAAUACCCAUUAUACAUUAUACAUUAUUUGUUGUGUUACCUUCAACAGAAUGGCAUCAGCUGGAGGAAUAGCAUCAAACAUGUCCCCUCCAACGUAUUUUAGGUUUUCAGUACCUCGCAAGCCAGCAACAACAUGUGGGAGAUCUAAUACAAUGCAUUGCAUCUUUGGGAAUGAUUUCGCAAUGGCCUUUGCCAUGGUCCCUGUGCCUCCUCCAACAUCAACCAAUGACUCCAAUCCUGUGAACGUUCCCUUGCACUUCUCAAUCAUCAAACUAGAGAUCAAUCGAGCGUCAUUCUCCAUGGCAUCAUUGAAUAAGUGAUUAACUUUCCUGUCACGGCCAGCAUAAUCCCAAAACGACAUCCCGUGUGCAGUUUCAAAGGGUGUAAGAUCACCACUUUUGAACCAAUCAGAAAGCUGAUGCCAUGGCUUUGUCAUAAAUGGAUCAAGGGAGACCUGCAUGAAGGGUAUCAGACUCAAGGGAUGGUUUUUAAGAAGUAGUACGGAUGCAUCAGUUAGCACAUACUUCACUUCUAACUCAUUCUGGGUGACAUUUUGUUGAGAGAAAAAGCCAGAAUGAACCAUGAUUCGCAUCAAGCGAUGGAUGAAUAAGGUUUUCGAUGGAUGGAUUGGUAGCGAAGCAAUGAGGUUUGAAAGUGGCAUGGGUUGGCCAUAGUUAUGUAUGACAUCUGGUAUGCCUAAGUCAACUACGCAUUUAAGGGACAUUGAGUUUAUAAAGCCCAGAAUGUUCUUCCAUACGUGUACUUGAGCUCUAACCACUUUGUCACCAAGCUCAUCAUCGUGAGAGUUCAUAAUGUAUGGUUAUAUUUGGAUGUAUGGCUCUUAACAUUAUUUCAAUGUAUUUAUACGCAACCACAUGGCGACAGUAAAAUCCUGUCGGUGGUUUUAUCUCUUGUAUUUUUUUUAUUUAUUUUUACAAUUAUUAUUAUUUUGGGAAAAAAAAAUCUGUAUUCCCAUAUUUAUUUGUAUAUUUAAAUGAGUUUUUAAUUAAGCAAGCGAAAAAAAGUUCUGAGGCACCGCAUGCACCGCACCGUAUACCGCUUGCCGAAACCACCGUUUAAGCAUGGUUUUUAAUUAAUAUAUAUGAUUGUUUUCAAUUCCCUUCUAGAAAACAGUUUUCUUUUUUUUGAAAAAUGUUGUACAAUGUAAAAUAAUUUAUCAGUGCUUGUUAAUAAACAAACUUUCUGUGGAUUUUGAAGUGUAACAUAGUUUGGAUACAUAACUUGUUUAUUAAUAUUUUAUUGAAUAAAUCCGUAAUCUGAAAUUGUAAAAGAAAAUUUUCUUUCUCUUUUUUUUGCUGCAUAUAGUGUGUGGAAUUAAAAGUUGUUCCUUCUCACUACAAGAAAAAUCGCAAUUAUAUACGGCCAAAAUUCGUAUAUAAUUUCAAAAAUCCGUAUAUAAAAUGGUGUUAUAUACGGAUUACAUACGGCCAAAAAUCCGUAUAUAAUUCGGUCGUAGGUAAGUUUAUAUACGGAUAUAUCCGUAUAUAAAUUAUAUACAGAUAAUCCGUAUAUAACUUAUAUGCGGAUAAUCCGUAUAUAACUUAUAUACGGAUUAUCCGUAUAUAACUAUAUACGAAAAAAUCCGUAUAUAAAAUCCGUAUAUAAUUAUAUACGGAUAAAUCCGUAUGUAAGUUUAUGGCUUUAUAAAAAAAAUUAAAUAAUCUCAUAUCUACCUCCAAUAAUUAAAAAUUUUAUAUAUUUGAUAAGUGUCAAAUACAACUGGUAAAUUAACAAAACAUAGUAUCAAAUUGUUAAAUAAUAAGAUCUAAUUAUCUUUUACAUAGUAGUAAAGUAAUCUAUUUAUACACUUGGCUAUCUGUGAAAAACUGUCAAAGAAUUGCUGCACUAAUGUUUAAAGUUUCACCAACUAACCAUUUAUCAUCAAAGUGGUGGCUCUAAACCACAUACCGAAGAUCUCGCGUCUUUCAAUGUGGGAUGUGUGAAUUUUUACUUUAUUCAAUCGUGAUGGAAGAUCGUGUACAAGUGUUUCUCUAAUAGAAAAGAAAUUAUAAGAUAAUAAGUAGAUAUUAACAAGCUUACAAACUCUAACAAACAAAGCAGUAACUCUUUAUUAUUCAAAAGUUAACUUCAAGAAAUUUAAGUUAUCCUUAUGUAAAAACGACUUUUUAUAUUAGUUGGCUUAAAUGUUUAAUUUGUCCCUAAGUUAAGGUCUAAAUUUUUGUUUUGUAUUCGAUUUUAUUUUGUUCUCAUAUUAAGAAUUUUGUAAGAAUUAAGUUUCUUUCGCUAAAUUGAAAGUAACAACCUUAAUUUCAUCUAAUGUAGAACACUUUUUCUCCUCUCUACUCUGCAUUUUCUGACUCAACUUUUUCUCUCUUCUCUCCCUUCUCUCUCUUCUCUCUUCUCAUUCCACCACCCAACAUUGCAGAGGUUUGAAUUGGCAGCGCCGACCUACCACUCCAAUUUCUUUCUUCGUUCACCAGAGCCACAACACAAAAAGAUCUGAUGAGUCAAAAUCUGAGUCACCGUCCAAUUCCGACUUGGACCGACGCAAUCGUAGCAGUAGCCGCCGGUCUAGGUGUGACUCAGACCGACGCCAUCGUAGCAGGGCCUAAUCGAAGGCUAUGAAAGUGGCAAAAAAGUUGAAAACCAGUACGGUGUCAGGCUAUUCCGACUAUUCGAAUAUGUUUGGUGACUCCAAUCUCAAUGAGAAGUUUGUUUGGCGCAAGAAGAUUGAAUGCGAUGUUUCUCAAGGUGUGUCUAUUGAUAUGUUUUCUGUUAAGGCCGAGAAAAAAAGACAGAUAGAAAGGAUGGCAUAAAUUGAAAAAGUGAAAAAGAGAAGAGAGGAAAGGGCACUCGAGAAAGCUCGGCAUGAGGAAGAAAUGGCAUUGUUAACUAGAGAACGUGCUCGAACUGAGUUUCAAGACUGGAAAAAAAAAAAAGAGUUCCAUUUUGAUCAAGCAAAGUUAGGUCAGAAAUUAGAUUGCGUGAAGGGCGUACCAGACCAAUUGAUGUCCUAACCAAGCAUCUCAACGUCUUUGAUGAUUUGGAUAUAGAAAUAAAUGAAACAUAUAUGGUCUUCAAGGGUUUGACUGUAAACGAAAUGAAUGAGCUACGUGAUGACAUCAAAAUGCAUCUGGACCUUGACAGGGCAACACCAACUCAUGUAGAAUAUUGGGAGGCACUCCUUCUGGUGUGUGAUUGGGAGCUAGCAGAAGUGUGAAAAAACGAAGCGUUUAACCGAGCAAGAGUUCGAGGAGAAGAACCUCCUGCUGAGCUGCUUGCAAAAGAAAGGGGAUUGCAUUCUAGUGUUGAGCCAGAUGUAAAAUGGCUUUUGCAAAGGAAGACACGUACAAAAUUGUUGGAAGUCCCACGUCGACUAGAGAUAAGGCCAAAUUAUAACAUAUAAGUGGAGUGCAGACCUCACCUUAUAAAUCGAUUUUGUGAGAUUGAGUUAAACUUAAAACCCACUUCUAACAAACCCACUUCUAACAAAAAUUAGAGGCUUUACAGAUUCACAUUCAAUCAAAAAUGCAUUUUGGUACAACAAAGGUGGUUGAAUACUGGAAGGCCAUAAAAAAAGUUUAUGAGAGAGAGGAAAAAGUGCUCCACUCUUAGACAUAACAGAUACACCAGUUGAUUGGUAGAACAUAUAUGGAAAAAAAUUACUUUGACACGGUUUUUUAAAAAAAAUAUUUAUAUGACAUGGUAGAUCCCAUUAGGUGGAUUCCAUUUUCUUUUCAUAUUUAUUAAGAAUGAAAAAGUAAUAUUGAAAGAAAAAAUUAAACAUUGAAUGUUUUCGUCACUUGGACACCUCAAAUGUAUCACUGUCCAACAUGUAUAAAAACUUGACAAACCGAAUUUUUGCAUUUAAACCUAAAAGUGAAUAGCAGAAAAGACUUGAAGUGGCUGCUAACAUGUUAAGUACAUUUUUUCUCUUUUCUAUUUCAGAGGAGGCAGAGUAUCAUCACAGGCUCAAGAAAUUUUUUCAGACGCCUACUGAAAUAAUGGAGGUGUUUAAGUUUCUGGUUUUUUCGAAGGAUACCCCAUACCAACUGUUUGAUGGUGCCACUAAGACCACGGUUAGUCACUCUUUGAACCAAAUUUCUACAAAGUUUGGGCAAUCAUUUACCACUCAAUAAUAACUGCAAAAGUUAUGAUUUUUAAACAUCGUACCGAUUUAAAUUUUUUAACUUUUAAUCCACAAUUAACAGUUUCAUUUCAUAUUUUUUGGGUGAACAGUAAUUGGUGUGUUAUCUUUUUAAAUAAUCCCAAAUACUUUGGGUACGUAUUUAUUCUAAAAAUAUAUACUUUUGGGUACGUAUUUAUUCUGAAAAUAUAUACUUUAAUAUCCUGGGUCUCCAAAAAAAUAUGAAUUAGUGUGUGUAUCUGUAUGCAUUUAAUAAGCAAUUAACUAAAGCAUUACGAAAAUAUUUGCUCCAAAAAGGAAACAUAUGGGGACAUGAAGACAAUAGUGAGAACCGUCACAUUCAUAGCAUCUCAAACCAUUCCGAGCGGAGGACUGACUCGGCUGAACGGAAAGCUGAGAAGAUCCUCCAGAAUUACGAGAAGAAGAAGAUCUGAAGUAUGGUGUCUUCUUAGAACUAGACCCGCCUCUAGACAUGGUUGAUCCCCCAACCCUCAGUGGAUGGGCCUAAUGGCUCGGGUAUCCCUCAGCUUCUCUCUUUGUCUUCUCCAUAUCUCUAGCCAUCUCUACUAAAGCUGAAUGUAGAAUUUGAACCUGACGGCAUUAAGUGCUGUAAAUUGGUGAUAUCAAGUGACAUCUUUGAAAGAAUUAUAGCAGGACAACUAGUAGACCCUGAGCUUCAGAAGACAAGGGCUUUAAUUGGUACAGAACAAGGAAAAGAUUUUAAUACUGGAACAGACGGUCUUCUACGAUUCAGAAGUAGAACCUGUGUACCAAAUGAUGGAGAGCUGAAGAAAUUGAUAUUGGAAGAAGGUCACCGGAGUCGCUUUAGCAUGCAUCCAGGCAUGACUAAAAUGUACCAAGACCUUAAGAGAUCAUUUUGGUGGUCGGGUAUGAAAGGUGAUGUAGCUCGGUUUGUUUCUUCUUGCCUUACUUGUCAGAAGGCUAAGAUAGAACACCAGAGAUCAAGUGGUAUGUUACAACAACCUGAUGUUCCUGAGUGGAAAUGGGAUAGCAUUGCGAUGGACUUCGUAACCCAUUUGCCACACACUGUCAGAAAACAUGAUGCCAUAUGGGUAAUAGUUGAUAGAUUGACCAAGAGUGCUCACUUCUUGGCAAUUAAUUUGAAGAUGUCUCUGCAAAAGUUAGCUCAGUUGUACAUCAAGGAGAUAUUUAGAUUGCAUGGUGUGCCUUCCAGUAUUAUAUUUGACAGAGACACGCGCUUCACAUCUCGCUUCUGGCAAACUUUACAAAGUGAGAUGGACAGUAGACUCCAGAUGAGUUCUGCUUACCAUCCCCAGACUGAUGGUCAAUCAGAGCGGACUAUACAAUCAUUGGAGGAUCUGCUUAGGACGUGUGUACUUGAUCAUCUGGGAGUCUGGGAUGAAGUACUGCCACUGGUGGAGUUCACAUAUAACAACAACUUUCAGACCAGUAUUGGAAUGGUGUCGUUCGAAGCUCUUUAUGGGAGGCGCUGCAGGACACCUUUAUGCUGGUUCCAGGAUGGAGAGUUUGUGUUGACUGGGCCAAAGAUAAUGCAACAAACGACUGAGAAGGUGAGAGUGAUUCAAGAGAGGAUGAGAGCUUCACAGAGUAGGCAAAAAUCAUAUGCUGACAGGAGACGCCGACCUUUGGAGUUUAAGGCGGUGACCAUGUAUUUCUUCGUGCGACACCUACUACUGGAGUAGGAAAGGCCAUCCGUGCUAAGAAGCUUUCUCCCAGAUACCUUGGGCCAUAUCAUAUUUCUAAACGCAUCGGUCCAGUCGCAUAUGAGAUAGUUAUGCCGCCUCAGCUAGCUAAUCUCCAUCCAGUCUUUCAUGUUUCUCAGCUUCGAAAGUAUGUCCCCUACCCUUCUCACGUGUUGGAAGCUGAUACUGUACAAGUCAAGGAAGAUCUCUCUAUAGAGAUGCAGUCGGUCAAAGUGGAUGAGAGGCUAACCAAACAACCAGACGGGAAAGCUACUACACUGAUCAAAGUUUUAUGGGAUAGCAGAACCGACAAUUCUACCUAGGAGAAGGAGGAAGAGAUGAAGAAGUCAUAUCCCCACUUGUUUUCUAGUAAGUCCUAAUUUUCGAGGACGAAAAUUUUGUUGUUGGGGAGAAUGUAAGGCCUUGAAAAAUAUAACAAAAAGUGUGUACAGUGGCAGCAUAGGAUAGGUUGGACAAUGUUAGUAAAGUAAAAUACUUAACCUUCUAAGUCCCACCUCUAAAUUGUGCUUCUGAAGAACUUUCCCCUUUUCUUUCAAGCACUCUCUCUUUUCUUCUUUGCCUUACCACUCCUCUCCAUCUCAACUCAGAUUCUAACCAUUGGUUUCUUAAAUUGAAGCUAUCUAGACCUUUGGGACUUCAAGAUCAACACUUUCAACCGAUCAUUUUCUCCUUUCCUUCAACUGGUAAGAAAACCCUUUUUCUCGUUUGCCCUAGGGUUGUAAGCAUGCAAUUAAACUUGUUGCAUGCAACCCAUUUCAUUUCCUUCCAUAAUCUAGCUUCUAUUUGGUUCUAAAAUUCAUUCUCCAUCAUCAAUUGAUGAUUUAUAAGUGAUUCUAACAUUUUGAGAGUACAAGCGGGUGGUUUAGGGUUCCUUCUUAAGCUUGGCUACCCACACUAGAGGUAAGUGAAGCUAGUUCUAUUUCUUAUUUCAUUGCGUGAUGUGAAUGAAUGACAAACUUUGUAGUGGUAUGGUGUGGAAGCAUGAAUUUGAUUCUAGUUAACUUGAAAUGCAUGUAUAGAGGUGUUUAACAUGUGACUUUGGUGAUUGAUGACUACAAGCUGUUUUGGAAUGAUUUGGAAUGCUGAAAUUGUGUAUGUUGGAACUGUUUUGUAUGAAAAUUUUGUGGUAGUGCUGUUAGAAAGGAAAUCAAGUGUCUUAGGAUCAAUUUUAGGUCAUUUUAGAGGAAGUGAGGUAGUGAUUUUGAGCAAACGGGGUCUGCAGUGUUAUUGGACUGUUGGGGCAGUUUUAUCCACUGUAUUGUGACUUGUUUGAGUCACUAAAUUGGUCAAAAUAGGUGCAAAGAGGGUAAGAUUAGGUUUUGGGUCUCUAAGUUGGAAAAAUUGGUGUUUUAGAGUUAGAAUGAAGUGUAAAUUGCUUUAGAAAGGUAAUGGAGAUUGUUGUAAUUAGAGAAGAUUUCUUUAGAAUCUUCCUAAUUAGAGAAAAUAGAUAUACAAUCUUUUAUUUUCUUUUGUUUUUCUAGUUUCUCUAUUUCCCUAUUUAGGAGAAUUAGAUUGUUACAAAUAGAGGAUAUGAGAAUGUAUUUUCAAUCAAUUCUAAAUAAUAAAUUUCAAUAUUAUUUUCUACUUGGUAUCAAGAGCUUCCGAUCUUGGAACUCCAUUCCGUUUCACCGUCGCACCACCGCCGUCACUAGUUGGGGUCGUUGAUAGGGUAGAAAGGUGCGCCUAACUCCGACGACCACAACACUGGAAGUCGCUCCGUCAGAGGAGCCGCCAUGCACCUCCACCGUCGCCGGCGCGUGUAGCCCACGCGCCUACCUCCGGCGAGACCCACUCGCCAGCGCCACCACAGACAGGGUCGUCGGAGUGCCUUGAGUCCAUUCCUAGGGUCGGUGACGACUCGUUUGGGCUGUAUUUGAGCAGAUCUGAGUUUUAAGUUUUGCUCCUCUUUUUUCUAGCAAGACCCACUGGCCAUCACCACCACAGAAGAGUCGCCGGAGACUCCUGAGUCUGUUCCUAGGGUUUGUGACAACUCGUUUGACCUUUUCUUGAGUAGAUCUGGUUGUUUAAGUUCUGCUCCUUUUUUCUCGGUGUGACCCAUACACCGUCAUCGUCUUGAAGACUCCCUCGUUGCGUUCUACGGGAUAUCUGAAGUAAAUAUUAUUCCUUUAAAAGCAAUGGAUGAAUCAAUGAGUAAGUCCUCUGGAUCAUGCACUUUGUCCAUAAAAGGUAAGAUUUGCCUCAAUACUGUUGAUCAUGUGUCUCAAGGUAUUUGGAUCCUUGAUUCAGGUGCAACUAAUCAUAUGACACCUUUUAGUGUGUCCUUCGACUUAUAUGGUAAAAGAAAUAAAGAACAACUUAUUACAGUUGCGAAUGGUCAGGGUAUACCUAUAUGCGGCUCUGGGAAUAUAAUUUUGGACUCAUCUAUUGUAUUGAAGGAUGUUUUACAUGUUCCUUAAUUAGCUAACAAUCUUAUCUUUGUGCAAAAGCUCACAAAGGAUUUAAAUUGCUCAGUAACAUUUUUUUCAACUUAUUGUGUUUUUCAGGACCUUGCCACGGGGAAGACAAUUUUAACUCCUAAGAAGCAUAGUCGGUUAUAUUUUUUAGGUUUAAUCAUUUAGAUUGUCCCUAUUUAUGUUGGGUUUUCUCAAUUAGGUCUCAGUCUUUUAAAACGUCUCAAUUAAGUCCCUGUUUUUGCAAAAUUGAAUCAAUUAAGGGUUUGCCGUUAACUUUGGUGGACGACGUUAAAAUUGAGUGUGUGUGGCAUCCAAGCUUUGCUGAGGUGGCAGUUUAUACUGAUCUGAGUUGGUAUUCUCACAUUUUUUAAUUAAAUUUCAUUGAAAAUAAGUCAUGCACACAAAACGCAACAUUUUAAUGACAGAUUUCUGCCUAAAUUGGAAUAAAGUGGAACGAUUUGACUUUGUGCGAAAUUGGGGAUUUUGUGAAAAUAGGGUUUGUAUCGAGCAAAGAAAUUGAGUGUUUGGUGCAAAAUUUGGUGUACGUGGUGAUCAAGUACGGAUCGAGUAAAGAUUUUGGAUUGAUUUGUCAGUUUGAAAUCGGUGAAAUCAGGAAAGUUUAGGCGUUUGUCUAUUAGCGGUGGUUCGAUCACUGGUUGUCGUUUGUCUAUUAGGGCGAGUACCCUUCUCACCAAUUGAUUCUUCCACUAUGUCAAGGAAAUUGGAAAAUGAUCAGACAGUGACACCAGCAGAAAAGGAAGCGCUUCAGGAGCUCGGAGGGGAUUCAGGGGCAAUACUUGCAGCGGAGAUAACUUUAAGGUCAAUGGCAAAUGAUAACGGUGGUGUUGAAGUUGAGGAAUUUGUGGUUAGUGGCAAGGCUAGGAUUAUGGUUUUAAAUAUAAAUAGGACUAGACUUUUGAGAAUUGUUAGAAAGUGCACAGUAUCAACGGCUUGAAUCAAAUUUUGGAGAUGGGAAUGUAAAUCAAAAUAAAGUUCAACAAAUCACUAACAGUGGUACUAAUGUGAAUGGUAGUUUGCUUGGGAUGGGAAGGCCAAUUCUAAGACCAAUGUCUGAAAUGUGGAUACCCCAUGGGGAUCCUCAUAUGUCAGGAUUGCAGGCAAUGUUUCCAGGUGCACCAAGGGGGGCACCCAGGGUAAUGGGCAUGAUGGGGACACCUAUUCUCCUCCAACACCAACCUUGCUCUUCUGAGGCACAUCUAUUCUCCUCUUCCAAUUUAGGGUUUUAAAUCCCUUCUGAAUUUUCAAUUUCUCCCAAAAUCCUCAAUUUCGCACAAAGUCAAAUUGAUUUAGGUAGAAAUCAGUUAUUGAAAUGUUGCGUUUUGUGUGCAUGAAUUAUUUCCAAUGAAAUUUAAUUAAAAAAUGUGAGAAAACCAACUCAGCUCAGCAUAAACUGCCACUUCAGCAAAGCCUGGAUGCCACGCACACUCAAUUUUAACGCCGUCCAUCAAAGUUAAUGGCAAACCCUUAAUUGAUUCAAUUUUGCAAAAAUAGGGACUUAAUUGAGACAUUUUAAAAAACUGGGACCUAAUUGAGAAAACCUAAAUAGGGACAAUCUAAAUGAUUAAACCUAUUUUUUAAAGUUUGAUGACCAAAGCAACACGAAAAUCAUGAGUCAACAAGCAACAUCUGAGACGUGGGAAAAAUCCCAAAUAUGGUUACAUCAUCAAAGGCUUGGACAUCCUUCAUUCAGUCUUAUCAAGUCCUUAUUUCCCCACUUGUUUAUCAAAGAAUCUGUUGAGUCUUUUAAUUGUGAUAUUUGUCAAUUUUCAAAACACCAUUGAUCAUCUUAUCCUAUUAGUCAUAAAAAGAGUAUUUUUCCAUUUGAUUUAAUUCAUAUUGAUGUUUGGGGUCCUGUCAUAGAUUCUAUUUCUGGAGCCAGAUGGUUUGUUACCUUUAUUGACGAUUGUACCCGUGUCACAUGGACAUACCUUAUGAAAAAUAAAUCCGAAGUUUUUCAAAUUUUUGUUAACUUUUUCCAUCUUGUCCAAAAUCAAUUUGGAAAAAAUAUCAAAAGAAUUAGGUCUGAAAAUGGUACUGAAUAUGUGAAUCAUGAAUUUCUCAAUUUUUUGUCUCAUAAUGGUAUUGUUCAUGAACUAACCUGUGUUAAUACCCCUCAACAAAAUAGGGUUGCAAAAAGAAAGAAUCGUCAUCUUCUUAAAGUAACUAGAGCUCUUUCUUUUACAAAUGUUUGUAUCCAAGCAGGACGCCCCCCCACUGUUGGGGGAAGGUUCGGCACACACAUAGAUCUCCACACAUGGUAAGACAUUGUCCGCUUUGGGCCAAGCCCUCACGGUUUUGCUUUUGGCACCACUCCAAAAGGCCUCUUACCAUUGGAGGUAUCUAUGUGUAUAUAAACCCUUGAUCAGCCCUUCUUUUACUCGAUGUGGGACUUUGUUUGCACUCUAACAUCCUCCCUCAAACAAAGGACUAUAGUCUUCUUCCUCCCCCGCUGCGGAAGUCUUUUCAUCCCAUUUCUCUUUUGUCCUCUUUCACGAUCCAUGGUCACACUGAGCAUUUCUCUUGCUCUCCCCACCUCUCAUGAUUCGUCCGACGAUCCGCCACUAGCCUCUUGCCUGGCUCACCUGAUCAUGGGGGCGUACUCGUCUGAGCCCGGUCACCAGACCCGAAUCAUGGGCUCUGAUACAACUGUUGGGGGAAGGUUCGACACACACAUAGAUCUCCACACAUGGUAACACAUUGUCCACUUUGGGCCAAGUCCUCACGGUUUUGCUUUUGGCACCAUUCCAAAAGGCCUUUUACCAUUGGAGGUAUCUAUGUAUAUAUAAACCCUUGACCAACCUUUCGUUUACUCGAUGUGGGAUUUGUUUGCACUCCAACAAAGAUGUUUAGAAUCAUUGAGAUAAUUUUAAUUGUAUCUAAAACAAGAAUUAAAGGUGUUAGAAGUUGGUAAAAAUCGUUAGAAAUGGUCAUAUAGGGUGUUGUCCUGAUUCUGCAUAAUUCUGCAGAAUUUGGCCGUUCGGUCUUGUGGGUCUCGAUCAGAGAAGGAUCGGUCCUUCUCAUGACUGUUUGGUCUUGUGGGUCUCGGUCAGAGAAGGAUUGGUCCUUCUCAUUGUCGUUCGGUCUUGUAGGUCUUGGUCAGAGAAGGAUUGGUCCUUCUCAUGACCGUUCGGUCUUCUAGGUCUCGGUCAAAGAAGGAUUGGUCCUUCUCAUGACCGUUCGGUCUUGUGGGUCUCGGUCAGAGAAGGAUUGAUCAUUCUCAUGACCGUUCGGUCUUGUGGGUCUCGGUCAGAGAAGGAUUNNNNNNNNNNNNNNNNNNNNUCUCAUGACCGUUCGGUCUUGUGGGUCUCGGUCAGAGAAGGAUUGAUCAUUCUCAUGACCGUUCGGUCUUGUGGGUCUCGGUCAGAGAAGGAUUGGUCCUUCUCAUGACCGUUUGGUCUUGUGGGUCUCGGUCAGAGAAGGACUAGUCCUUCUCAUGACCGUUCGGUCUUGUGGGUCUCGAUCAGAGAAGGAUUAGUUCUUCUCAUGGUCGUUCGGUCUUGUGUUACUCUCGGUCAUAAAUGGGUUGCCCCACUUGAGUCUUGCCAGUUGAAACCGUUCGGUCUGAAUCUCUGUCGGCCUUGUAAUGUUCUCGACCUUGUGUGCUCUCGGUCUAGUAUUUCUCUCAGUCUAGUAUUGCUCUCGGUUUAGUUAUUCUCUCAGUCAGAACAGGGUUGUUGGUUCCUCUUGAGCCUUAACUAUUCAUGACCGUUCGGUCUAUCAAAGAGUGCUCGGUCUGACACUCGGUCCAUUCCCAAUGGUCGGCCAAUGCACUAAGUGCUCGGCUCAUGCUUAAAACGUUCGGUUCAAGCUGUCUAGUUAAUUAAUUAUGGUAAAUUAAGGGUGUAUUGAUUUUAUUGCAAAGUAAGAAUGGUUGAUGUUGUAUGAUGUGUAUAUGACUUAAUAUGGCAUUGGAGGUACAUUAUUGAUUCAAGAGGUGUAUCAUGUGAUUUAAAGUGGUCGGAUUGGUUUUGAAAUUACGAUCUCUCGGUGAGAUCAGUUAGUGUAUUGAAUGAAUGUGAGAGGCUUCCAUAUGGGGGAUUAUCCCUAACACUCCAACGGUCUUUCAUUCUCACUUAGAGAGGAUUGACGCGUGUGGUGGGAGUAGUGGGAGGUCCUAGGGUAGGCGCUCUCACUAGAGGUCUAUUCCGCGGUAACGGACUAGCCUUGUGUGUGGUCGGGUGGAACCCCUCGGCAAUGGCUUUGCAAAGCAGUAGAGGCCACCACAAGUGCACAACCCGCCCCAGCUCUACAUANNNNNNNNNNNNNNNNNNNNNNNNNNNNNNNNNNNNNNNNNNNNNNNNNNNNNNNNNNNNNNNNNNNNNNNNNNNNNNNNNNNNNNNNNNNNNNNNNNNNNNNNNNNNNNNNNNNNNNNNNNNNNNNNNNNNNNNNNNNNNNNNNNNNNNNNNNNNNNNNNNNNNNNNNNNNNNNNNNNNNNNNNNNNNNNNNNNNNNNNNNNNNNNNNNNNNNNNNNNNNNNNNNNNNNNNNNNNNNNNNNNNNNNNNNNNNNNNNNNNNNNNNNNNNNNNNNNNNNNNNNNNNNNNNNNNNNNNNNNNNNNNNNNNNNNNNNNNNNNNNNNNNNNNNNNNNNNNNNNNNNNNNNNNNNNNNNNNNNNNNNNNNNNNNNCCAAUUUUCCUUUAAUUUAAUUCUCUUUAAAUCAGUCAUAAAAGAGAUCAAAAACUGCUCAAUAACUGCUCCUGGAAACUUUCACAGCCCAUGGAAAACUCCCCACUCUGCCUGUGUUCUUCUCUGUUCCUCUUGCCAAAUCCUGACGUGAAUCCACAGGUUGUGGUAGAAACCACAACUCACUUGUGAAGCUCUCUAUUUUGCCACUGCAUUUUGAAGCAAACUCCACAGGUUAUGGAACUGUCCCCAGCUGCGUUGUUGAACUCUCUGGAUUCAUCUUUCUAUCUUGUCCAUCAAUUCUUCCAAAAAUGUGGUUUAGGCACUUAGAAUCACCAAUCUACACAGAAAAAACACAAAAUGCCAAUGUAUGAUCCGAAACAAAGAUAAUCCAUGACUAAAUCCUUAAAUCAAUACAAUUAUGUAUGCAAAUGACCUAAACUAAGAUAUGAAUGCAAUUACAUUUUACUCACACAUCAGAUGACUUGCAUGUUUAUGUGUGUAUGGACGUUCUUGGAAAUGCUAAAUUGAAUUGAAAUGAAUUGUAUGUUUGUUUGAGACCUAGCUCACCCUUGGAUUAUAUGGUUGUAUGUGUUUGUCUUCUUCCUUGCAAUGAUCAUCCAAUCCUUUGGAUGUGAGAGUUGGUAUCAAAAUAUAUUGUAGGUUUAUUUGGUAUCCCUAAUAAAAAAUAGUUUAAAACAUAUAUGUUUAAUGUAUUAAAAUAAAAUUAUUUAAUUUUACAUUUAUUAAUUUCAUAUUACGUAACCUUUCUUAGACCUCCUAUGAAGAUGAGGUUGAUGUUCAAUUUUUUCUUUCACGUUCCUCUUUCGAUAAUUUUCUGCUCUCUAUAUAAUCUUUUAUAUUAUUUUCCUUUCAUAAUUUGAUAACUUGUGUUUGAGCAAGUCCCACUAUCAGUUACCUCAAAACUUCUAUCAAUUAUAAAGACAAUCCUUUUUCAUAAUUAAAUCACUCAGAUUUAUUAAAUCAAUAAUUGUUUAUUCAUCAUACCAUCAGAAACUAUCUUUUUCACCUGAAACAAUUCUCACAAACUUAAUUCUUGAAAUUUCAAAUAUAGCUUCAUCUUGUUGAGUGACUAUGGAUAGAUCUGAAUGAUAGACCUUAUGCCCAAAACGGGACUUAUGUCGUAGUUAUUGAAACCAGCAGAGGAAAACAGCUUAACCCACUCUUUUUUGUUUCUCUCUUUUCCGUUGACCAUCACCAUCAACAUGUCAAAGAACAGUUGUGUUUCAACAUAUUCUUCUUCUUUCACUUCAUUAUCCAUCACCAUCUCUAUGAUUAUCACCUUUCCUUCUUUCCCUUUCUUAGAUAUAGCUUCCUUGCAUUUCUUCAAUAUUCUCACACACUCCUCAUCGUUCCAGUUAUGUAAUGUACCCUGUUUUCUCAUCCAAAAAGUAGAAGGAAUUCAGCUGUUUAGAAUAAGCAUCUCAGGUAAUAUAAUUAAUAUAGUAGGGCCACUUAUUAUAAGUCAGAUAACCAAGUUGAAUCUGCACACCUAACAUUAACUUAAUUAGUUCUAUUUAUUAAUUAGAAAAAGACUCAACCAUGCUGUACCUUCAACAAAAUGGCAUUUGUUGGAGGAAUCUCCUGAAACAUGUCCCCUCCAACAUAUCUAAGGUUGUCACUUCCUUGCAAGCCAGAAACAACACGUGGAAGAUCAAAUACGAUGCAUUCCAAUUGAGGGAAGGAUUCAGCAAUGGCCUUUCCCAUGGUUCCUGUACCUCCCCCAACAUCAACCAAUGACUCCAAUCCCAUGAACAUCCCUUUGCAUUUCUCAAUCACCCAACUAGUGAUUGAGAAACAAUUCUGGGAUUAAUUCUGGGAUCACUGCCAGCAUACUCCCAAAACAAUUUCCCAUGUUCCAUUUCAAAGGGUGUAGUAAUACCAUUUUUGAACCAACUAGAAAACUGAUUCCAUGGAUUUGUUAAAACUGGAUCAAGCAUGGCCUGCAGGAAAGGUGCCAUACUCAUUUCAUGGCUCUUAANCAGAAGNAAAGAGGCAUCAGUGAGUGCAUANUUGACUUCAAGNUCGUUNUCGGUGUGANUGAGUUGAGAGAAGAAGCCAGAAUGGACCAUGAUUCGCAUCAAGCGAGGGAUGAAGUGAGUUUUGGAAGAGUGAAUUGGAAGUGAAGCAAUGAGGUUUGAGAGUGAGAUGGGUUGGCCAUGGUUGUGUAUGAUGUCUGCUAUGCCUAACUCAACAACACACUUAAGGGACAUGGAGUUUAUGAAGUUAAAAAUAUGAUUCCAUAUGUGUGUUUGAGCCCUCAGUAGUUUCGCGUCAUGGGAUUCCAUAAUUUGUUGCAUAAACUACUUG
Molecule: long non-coding RNA, 72274 nt
Filed under: Vigna radiata
Lineage: Eukaryota; Viridiplantae; Streptophyta; Magnoliopsida; Fabales; Fabaceae
Description: long non-coding RNA (VRAD_LNC004576)
Source: RNAcentral